This 73369-nucleotide long non-coding RNA is filed under the name Physcomitrium patens. RNAcentral's name for it is "long non-coding RNA (PPAT_LNC004512)". The stretch from base 39229 to 39274 matches the Rfam family "Histone 3' UTR stem-loop". The record is from RNAcentral. Lineage: Eukaryota; Viridiplantae; Streptophyta; Bryopsida; Funariales; Funariaceae.
UUUUUUUUUUUUUUUUUUCCUUUUUCCUUUUUCCUUUUUCCUUUUAAUAUAUCUUACAUAAGCAAGCAAAUUUUUAACUAAAAUAUUAUCUUUUUAUUUUAAAAAUAUUCUAAUAAUUUUAGAAAGAUUAGAGGAGAAAUAUCUGAUAAUAUUUGCUCUGAACUUAAAUAAUGAGUUUAUUUCUUUUAAAAAUCAUAUAAAUUGCGUCUAAAUAGCAUACACAGAGUUAAAGAUAAAUUUUAAAAGUUCAAUCUUUAUCUGAAGAAAUAAAAAGAAGUUUAAGAAGAACUAAAACCUAUAACAUAAAAUGACAAAUUCUAAGAACAUAUUUUUAAGGUAUAUUUUGGAUAAUAAAAAAAGCUUUGAUUGAUAUUGGAAUAUCACCAUCUCAAUCUAUUUAAUCUAUUGGUUUUUAUAAACUAAUAGAUGAUUACAUCUCCACAAAAAAAAUCUAAUUUUGAAAUUAAUUAGUUGAUUUUUUUAAAAAUAUAUUAUAUAUUAUAUCUAAAUUUACAAAACCUAAAAUCCACAAAGUAGGUAUUUGAUUAAAUAUAUAUUUUACUAUAAUUAAAACAAUUUUAUAUUCUUAUUGAUUAGAUUUAUCAAUUUUUCUAUAAAAAGAACUUAUUUUUAAGAAGAUUUUGCUAAGAUCUUUAGAUUAGUCCUAAAAUUCAAGAAAUCAAAUAAAAACAAAAUGGUAACAUUAUUUUCUAAUGCUACUGAAGAACUUCUAUUUUACUCUAGAUUAUACGAUUAGUCUUUUAAUAUUGACAUUAUGACUUAUACAAUCAAAUUAGAUUAAAAAAAUUAAUAUAAUUUAAACAUAAACUUUGGAACUUGAGCAAGUCCAAAUAGAAAUCAAUAUUGCCUCAAACUUCUCUUUUAAUUACAAGGAAUAAGAGCUUGGAAGCAAAAAAUAACAAAUUAUACAAAGAACUAACAUUUAAUUAUUUGAGGGCUAAAACUAAUUCAAAUAUUAAUAUUAAUAUUAAUCUUUUUAUUUUUUAAAAUGCUUAAGAGCUCUAAAACAAUUUUAUAGAAGUUUUGGAAGUAACCUCAUGUUUAGUAAGCAUAGAAUUAGAGAACACUUUUGUUAUAUAAAUUAACAUCUAAUCCAAGAUAGUAGAGACGUUAGAAAUUAACAAGGAGCUUUUUUGGUACAAAACUCUUUUAAAAUUUAAUUAAUUUAGGACAAUAUGGUAUAUUCUAGCGGCUCUGCUUCAGCAAGUGAUGCCGCAUGAAUCUGCUCUCUGACCACGCCAAGCAAAGUGAAACCAUUGAAAUAAAAAAAAAAAAAAAAAAAAAAAAAAAACCAACAAUGUUGGUUUUGUUUAUUUAUUAAUUUACUUUGUUAUUGCUUUUGCAAGGAAGUUCAGGUCUAACUAGGCAACUUAAAUGAUUGUAUAAUUUACUUUUUCCAAAACAAACUCUCAACCAACCAAUCAAGUCAACCUCAACUGGGCACUCGAUUUCGAUUGUAAACAAAAACUUGUUUAAGUCGCCGUAUACCGCUUUUUCAGCAUUCCACACCAUUUCCAAUAUUUGUAAAUAGUGUUCUAUUUCAGAUUUUGUCAUGAAAACGGUGUUGCCACAUUUUGACAAGAUUGCAUACCUCAUCACUAUCCCACACUAUCGAAUGAAUGGGAAGAAUUUUAUGUUUCUGGCGUGAAAGAUGUAGCGCAGAGCUUAACUACAAUUUUGUCCUUCGCAAGGAUCAGAAUGGCUUCAUCAAUUUGACUGUUGCGUACGUCUUGACUUGUGCCGAGGUAGGUUUUGUGUUUGUCAGUCCAGAAGCACUUGGAAGCUAGUUGCAAGUUUCCAGUGCAACUUCGCCGACCUCGCCGCAGACUAGUUUGCUUUUUACCUCAACAAGCUGACAGUCGGGCCUGCUCCUCGUCACACAGGAAAAAAGCCGUUUUUUUUAAUCCACGUGAGGUGCAUCUGAAACCUGUGAUGUGCGGUUCGAAAUGCAGAUGACUCUGAAAUGUCCAUCUCGGUUAGAACUGUGACCCCACUUCGUGUCUUGAUUCGGAGAAACCGAGUGACAAAAAGUCAGCAAGCUCUUAACAGAUUUGGUCAUCUAUCUGGAUGACCUUUAGAAAUAUUCAUUUGAUGAUUAUUAUAUUCCGAGGGAACACCCAUCACUGUGUUUUUGGAACUAUUUUUAUGGAACAUGGAUAACACAAAGUCUGAGAAAGAUGAGAUGUAGUAUGGGAUUUGAUUGCAACUGCCAUCUUUUACCUUCUACUUAAUGUAUUCUUACACCAAAACAUUUCAAUAAACCCCUAUCCUUGUCUAAUUGCAAACAAAUAAUUUUGUGUGAGUAUUUUUAUUUUAUUUUAGAACCCAAGAUUUUAAAAAUAAUCUGUACAUUGUUGUCUAAUAACAUGGCCAUUAUGUGGAAGAAGAGAGGUAGUAAAAAUUUAUAAGUGUAAAUAUUGCAUCCUUGUAGAAGAAACUUAUAUAUUCAUUUUGAUAGGGGCAUGAAUGAGCCAAAUCAAAAUAAAUGAAUACAUAAUUAAUAUAGGCAUCUUUAAGAGAGCAAGUUAAGAAUAGGUUUUAGAAAAAAUAUUAAGAAUUGAUACUUGGAGAAAACUAGUUGUGGACUAAGGUCAAAAUUAGACCCUAAGACUGAAAAUCGCACACCUACAAGGACUCCAAGGUUCUUGGAUUGAUUGGAAAGUGAGAUUUAAGAGUAGACUUAUGAGAAUAUUUUUGAAAGUUGAUUUCAUAUGAUUUGAAAUUAUAUUGAGGAUUUGAAAGCUUUUCAAAGUAAAAGGUAUAUUAUGUGGAUUUGGAUUUUAAGAAAUAAAAAGAAAUUAAAAAAAUUGAUGAUUUUAUGAAUAAUGUAGUAUAUUUACAAGUGAAAAUUUGUCAAUUUGUUAUUGUACUUGUUAUAAAUAUGUGUGUGAAAUUUGAUGUCAAUUGAGUGAUUAGAUUGGAGAUUGUAAGAAUUUUUGUAGAUUAUGGUCUUGGAUAAUUGAAAUUUAGGGCUAGUAAGGGUCUUUGCUAUCUUGCAACAUCUACUUGUUCAAUCGAAGAAAAGAUUUGUGAGAGCAAUUAUGACAUAAAUACCUACAAAUUAAAUAAGUUUUGGAGGAAUUAAAUGGUUCAAGAAGGAGAAAUUUUUGUUGAAAGAUCAAUAUUCAAGUUGGAAAAGGAUGGUGACCAAUAUUUGAGAGGUUUUAAAAAGUUUGUUUUUCAAUUGAUGUUAUCAAUUCUUUUAAAAUUUUGUAUGAUUGUAAAUUGCUUGUAGAUUAAUGUUUGGAUGAAAUUUUAGUUAAAAUCAAUAGUUUAAUUAAUAUUUCUUAAGGUUUCAAAAUAAUUUAUAUAACUGAUUAAGAUUUAUUUAUAUUUUUAUAGAAUUAUUUAGAAAUUAUUUAGGAAUUAUUUAGGAAUUAUUAAGGAUUUAAUUAGAAUUUAAGAUUUGAUUAAGAUUUAAAAUUUGAUUAGAAUUUCAUUAGAAUUUAUACUAGGAUUUGGAUUUAGAAUUUGAUUAGGGUUUGAUUCAAGGUUUGAUUCAAGAUUUGAUUAGGAUUUAAUUAGAAUUUGGUUAGGAUUUUAUUAGGAUUUGGUCUAAGAUUAAUAUUUAGAAUUUUAUUUAGAUUUGUUAGGAUUAAUUUAGAAUUUAUUUAAGAAUUGUUGAAGAUUAUAUUAGAUUUUAGCUAGGGAUAAAUUAUGAUUUUUAUUUUUAAUAUUUCUUUAAAAUUUAUUUUAUUUAAAAAAAAAAUUAUAUACAUAUAUAGGAUUGAUUUAUGAUUUCUUUAUGUUUAUUUUUGUAAGUUCUUUGAAUUUUUUUUGAAUUUUAAAUAAUGAUUGAUUUUUAUUAUUUUAAUUUAAUUAGAAUUUAUUUAGAAUUCUAUUAGAGUCACGGAUAUACAUAUUUACUCUAAUAUUUACCUAUAUGAUUAAAUAAAAGUAAUAAUAAUAGUUUUAUUUCAUAAUAUAUUUUAGAAAAGCUUCCUAAAAGUUUAUAGAUGUUGCUUUGACUUUACAUGUGUUUGUAGUUGAUUGAUACAUUAGAAACUUGAUUAACAAUUUAAUCACAUGUUGAUAGCUUAUAAAAUAAACUAACUAUGUAACACAAAUAGAAAAAACUUACCUUGCAAGUUAAGAUAUGUGUCUUGCAAAAUCAACACAUUUUAGAGGUCCUACACGACAUUGCCUUGUAGCUUCUAGUUAAGAGUAUAUAUGGAAGCAAAAGUGAAGCCUUCUUCAUUCUUUUCAAUGCCUUUCUAGUCUUUGGUCUUAGUUUUAAGACUUUUUAGUACUCUUGUCUUUGAUGAUAGCCAUUUUAGUUGAAUAUAUUAUCAUCUUUAAAUAAUUUUUUAGUCUUUUUAAAUAACACAAAAUUAUCCUAAUCUUUUAAGUCUUCAAGAUUCAUGUCCUUCAUAAUUUUACAAGAAAGCAAACUUAUUAUUUUUGUCUUGUUGUAGAAGUGAGUGGAUUACUCCACUUCUAUUGUUGUGUUUUGAAGGUUGCUGAUUAUCCACCUUUAAACAAAUUGUUUAAUUUUUUAAUAUUGAUAUUUUUUUUAAAGAGAGCAGGUUAUUCUUUUUGUGGAAAUUUUCAUUUAAUAUUAAAGAUUGUGGAUUAUUUCCCUCUAAUUUGACUUAUGGAUUUAUUAAGUUGUUUGAAAUAGAAAAGAAACUCAGGGAUAUUAUAUUUGGUAGAAAUAAGCAUAGAUUUGUAACUAUUAUUAAUCUUCAUGAACUUGUAAACUCUUUUAGGAUAGAAAUUUUAGGCAUUACAGGUGCCAAUUAUAGAAAUACUAAUCCUAAGCCUAUGAAAGAUAAUCAAAAUCUAUAUUAAAAAAUUGUGUAGUUGAAAGAAGCUAGUGAAUUGAUCUCACAACUAAAUCUAAGAAGUUUUGUUUCUACAAGUACAAUAAGGGCAAGGAUUAGUAUGCUUAAGAAGUUUGAUAGAAUAAGAUCAAAAUUUGGAAGAUUUGUAUAACAAAUCAAGUUCUAUCUAAAAUUGCAUUCCUUCCAAUAUCUUAAUGGAUUUACUCAAGUUAAAUUCAUAAGUACAUUUUUAUCUAAAAGUGCUCUUUUUUGAUUUGCACAUUUAAUGGAAAAGGAUUUACAACUCCUAUAUAAUUUAAAUGUAUUCUUAAAAGUAUUUAUGGCCACAUUUGGAAAAAGAAAUCAAGAGCGAGUAGCAAAGAUCAAGCUUUUAUCUUUACAAUAAGGAUCAUGAUUAGCUACUAUAUAUAUUAUUGAAUUCUAAAACCUCACUUAAAAUGUGGUCUAGAAUGAUAAAGUCCAUAUCAAUCAAUUUUAAUAUAGAUUGAAGAUAAUGUCAAAGAUUUAUUAUUGACAACAUUGACAGUAGAAUCUUUAAAAUAAUUUAUUGUUUUAGCCAUUGCAUGUAAUAAUUGAUUAUACAAAAAACAUCGAGAAUAAAGACUUGGUGGAAGAAGAACAAAUUAAGUAAUGAUGGCAACUCUAAAGUUUUCAAAAAAUUAUUUAUGAAGGCUAGAAUCAAUGCAAAUUGAUAUGAUAAAACCAAUGAAGAAUUUAAAAUAUACCAUAUCAAUUUUAAGCAAGAAAAGACUUGAUAUUGUUAAAAAGGUUUGUACUUAUAUUAUAAAGAAGCUAAACACACCACUCAAUAUUAUAAGUGCAAAAGCUUUCAUUAGUAUAGCAAAAAAAAUUUCAUCUUUUGCUAUAUAUGUUACAUCCAUUUUUGAUGGUGAAAAGACAUCAAGUAAUAUUCUUAAUUAGUAUCAAGAUUUUUAGGAUGUUUUUUAAAAAAAGAAUGUAAAUAUUCUUCUAGAAUAUCAAUCCUAUGAUUGUUUAAUUGAUUUGUAAGAAAGAGCUCAACCACCAUUCAGAUUAAUCUAUAUUUUAUUGUAAAAUGAGUUAGCUACACUAAAAAAAUAUAUUGAAGAAGAAAGAUGGAUCUCUACACAUGUGCAUAGACUAUCGAGGACUUAAUAAGAUCACUAUCAAUAAUAAUUAUUCUUUAUUUUUGAUUUUAGGACUUCUUCACCAACUCAAUCCAAUAUAGAUCUAUAUAAAAGUAGAUCUACAAGGAGCAUACAACUUAAUUCGCAUCAAAGAAGGAGUUGAAUGGAAGACUAUUUUUUGAACAAGGUAUGAAAAUUUUAAAUAUAAUAUCAUAAUUUUUGGACUAAUAAAUGCAUUAAUAUUAGAAAUAAGAAUUUGAUGAAAUUAAAUAAAUAAGUAUAAAAAAAUAGAAAUAAAAAAGUAUGUAUAUUAAAAAAAAAUUGAAAUGACUAUUGCCAAAAGAUAAAGAUACUAGAGACUCUUGAAUCUAGACUAGAAGCAAGAAAAGAGUUGAAAGAGUGAAGAGAACUUCACUCUUGCCUCUAUAUAUAUUAUCUAACUAGGAGUUAUAUAGAGAUAUUUUAUAAGACCUUUAAAAUAGGUUGACUUUACAAGAUACAUGCUUUAGCUUAUAAGGCAAGUUUUCUAUGUAUACGCAAUAUAGUUAGCUUGUUCUUCAAGCUAUCAACAUGUGUGGCACAUGGCUAAUUUUUUGACCAUGUUUAUAACCUAAAAAGUCAAAUAUAAACACUUAUAAGAUCAAAGCAAUGUCUAUAUAGCUUCUAAAAAGUUUCUAUAAUAGAUAUUAUAGAAUUAGUUUAUUUUUAUUUAUUUUUAUCAAAUUAUAGAUAAUUAUUGAUUUAUAUGUAUAUAUAUGUAAUAUUACCUCUUUUUUUAGGAACAAGUUUUAUAAGGAAGGUUAUUAUAUGUUGAAGAAAUUGAAGAUGCGGAAAAUUGUAUUUGUCAUAUACUUUGAUCUUUUUUUUUCUUUGAAGAUGGCUGAUAAGGCCUCUCAACCAUUGAUAGUGUCCAAUAUCAGAGCAAAAAGACCACCCAAUUAUUUGAUCAUUGUUGAGGCUUUUAUAACUUCAUUCAAAUAAAAUAUUUGAAACACCGUCAGGAGUUGUUCUUACUUCUAGUAAAAUCAUCAAACAUCAAAAGUCCCUUCCUAGGUUGUGAUACCAAAUGUGCUGUAUCUUGCCAUCUAUUCAAGGAAAAAAAUAUUGUUCUUGAGGAUCUUCAUCUCAAUUUCAUCAUCUUGAAGGUUGUAAUAAUCACAAUGAUUCAUUCGGUAGGUCAAGAAAUAAAGGCUCUUGAGUCAAAUCUGCUAGUUGUUGAUUCUCCAUCUCCUUAGUAUUACAAAUAUAAAGAAAUUAUAAAAAAGAUAGAAAAUAGAAUGUUUUUUUGCCUAGAACUUAUUUUUUUUAUUGAAAAGUUCUUCAUCUUGGUUUUAAUAGAUGUCAUUGAUAAAAAAUGUCAACUUUCUUUGCUAUAUUUGUAAGAUUCUAUAUUGGCUUCUAUGUGUGUUUACUAUUAUCAUAUCCACAUCAAUGAAUAAAAUAUUCUAAUUUAUUUUGGUACCACUUUGAAUUUAAGACUUCUUCUACCUCAAACUCUUGAUUAUUAUCUAUUUCUAUAGGAAGUGGUGGCAUUUGUUUUUUCUCGAGAUAUUCAUUGUCUUAUAUGCCUCAAAAAAGAUACAUGAAAUAUUGGAUGAAUCUUCAUAGACUCCUAAAGAUAUAAUCAAUAAGCAAUAAGAUUGACUUAUUCACUAAUAGAAAAAGGUCCAAGCCUACAAUAGUCUUGAUAUUACAACAAAGUGAUUAUAUCUUCUCACUUACAUUGAAUUAUGGUUGUUCCUUGCAAUAGGCAUUUGCAUUGAUUUUUUGUUAUUCUUGAGCUCCUUUUAAUUGCGCCUUUAUUAUUGCAUAUAGCUCUAAGAAACGAUUUUUUAAAUCUUUUGCCAUAAGUUUAUUGAUUAUUAAAAAGUCAAAAGUAUCAAGUUAUAGAUGAUAACCAUAAUUAAUAAAGAAUGAUGUUUGUUGCAUAGAAGAAUACACCAUAUUAUUAUAAGCAAAUUUGCCAAUAGCAAAAGAGUUUCUCAAUAGUCUUGUUGAUAAUUAAUUGUACACCUUAAAUACUGCUCCAAAACUUGGUUUAUAUGCUUUGUUUGUCUAUUAGUUUGAAGAUGAAAGGCCAAAGAUAGCUUUACGUCUACCUUUAGAAUCUUGAAAAGCAUUUUUUAAAAUCUUGAUACAAAUUGAGUCUUUCUAUUUGAUAUAAUAUCCUUGGACAAUCCAUAGUAUCAAUAGAUAUUUUCAAAGAAAAGCUUUGCUAUUGCUUCACUUGUGAUAGAUUUUGUACAUAGUACAAAAUGUGCCAUCUUUGUAAAAUAAUCUAUUAUCACAAAUAUAGAAUCAUAUAAACUUGAGACUAAAAUAUCCGUGAUAAAAUCUAUAGAAAUAGAAGACCAUGGUUAUUUUAGAAUAGGUAAUAGCUGAAGAAGUCUGUAAGGUGAAUGAUAAGGAGUUUUUGAUCUUGAAAAAACAUCACAUGAUUGAACAAAAUCCUUGAUUUCCUUCCACAUUUGCAGCUAUCAAAAAUCUUUAGAUAUCAAUUCUAAAGUCUUGUUGUAUCCAAAAUGUCUAGCUGCUGGAAAAUUGUGUCAUAUUUGAAGAAUAUGUAAAUAUCCUUCUUCUUCUAAAACAUAUAGGCAUCUUUUGAAAUAGAGUAGAUUUUUUUUUAAUUCAAAUUUGGAAGCAUCAUGAGACUUAGAAGAAGGAUCCUUGAUAUCAUGAACAAAAAGAUUAGAAGAUAUAUUUGAUUAAAUUUAUUUGAUUAAGGUUUAAUCAACAAUCAAAAAUUUUGAUUUUAUUACUUGAAGAUGAAAAUGCUCAAGCUUAAAGAAAAUUGUUUUUUCUUAAUCAAAAGAUGCAUUUCCUUAUUUUGGUAUAAGAUAAGAAUGUUUAAAAAGAGUGUUUGAUAAACAUUAUUGUUUUCUAAAUCAACAUGUCAUCUUGAAAUCAAAUCUUGAUAAAGACAUACUCCAAUGAGCUUGGCGAUGAUUCAAAACUUGUCUUGACAUGAAGUAUUUGAGAUUCUUGUGAUUUAUAAACAUGGUGAUUAGACUAGAAGCACCUUCUAAAUAAUGAUGCCAUUCUUGAAAAGAUUCUAUAAUUAUAAAAAGCUCUUUCUUAUAGAUCUCAUAAUUAAUCUCAAUUGCUGAAAAUUUCUUGGAAUGAAAAGCUAUUGUAGAAGUUAAUCAUCUAAAUCCAUUUGUGAUAAUACAACACUUAAAGUAAAGUCUAAUGCCUCUAUUUGUAUAAAAAAUACCUUAGAGAAGUCAACACAAUAUAAGAUUAGUGCAAAAACAAAGGUUGUCUUUAAAGCUUCAAAUGUUACUUCCGCUUCUUGAUUCUACCAAAGUUUAUCUUUAUAAGUGAAACGUGUAAGUGGAGCUUUAAUUCAAAAAAAGUCUUUAAUGAAGCUUGAAUAGUAGUUGGCAAAUUCUAAAAAAUAUUAGAUAUCUCAUGCCUUUUUUGAAAUCUUCUAAUCUAUAAUAAUUUAAAAUUUCUUAGGAUCAAUGAUAAGUUCAUCAUUUAAAAUGAUAUAAUUUAAAAAGUCAACUUGAAUAUUGUAGAAUAUACACUUUUUUUUUAACUUGGCAUAGAGUCCCGUAUCUCUUAAUUUUUGUAAUACAUGACAAAUAUGAAGUUAAUAUUCUUUUGUAUUUUUAGAAUAGAUCAAGAUAUUGUGUAGAUAAUAUAUAAUAAAAUCGUCCAAAAAUUCUAAAAAAAUAUCAUUCAUAUAAUGUUGAAAAGCUGCUAGUAUGUUUGUAAGUCUAAAAGGCAUGACAUUAUAUUCAAAAUUUCCAUACCUGAUUUAAAAUGUAGUCUUCUAUUUAUCUCUUUCUUUAAUGUGUACUAGAUUAUAUGCUCUUUAUAGAUCUAUUUUUGUAUAGAUCUUAGCUUGAUUCAAUUGAUACAAAAGUUUAGAUAUUAAAGGUAUUGAAUACUUGUUCUUCAUAGUGAUCUUGUUGAGUCCUCAAUAAUCAAUACACAUGUACAAUGAUUCAUCUUUUUUCUUCACAAAUAGAAUUAAGGCUCUUGCUGAAAAUUUGGAAUGGCAUAUAAAAUUCUUAUCUAGAUUUCUUCAAUAUAUUCCUUGAAUUCAAUGAACUCAUUUUGUGAUAAAUUGUAGAUUAGUCCAUAUGGCAAUUGUGCUUCUUUUUGAAGGUCAAUUGAGAAGUCAUAGGGACAAUGUUUUAGAAGAGUAUCUACAUUUUUUUUUUUUUCAAAUACAUCUUGAAAUUUUUGAUAUUAGCUUGAAAUGCCACUUAAAGUCUUUGCACCAUUAAAAAUAAGUGUGGCUUAAAUGACACAAGGUGAUCAUUCUUUUGCAACAUACAAGAAAGCUCUUGCACUUACAAAUAUAGGUUUAAUUAUACUAGACUUUUGAUUUUUUAUAUUAUUAAUUAUACUCUUAGUUAUACUUUAAAAAAAAUUAAGAGUACGAUAAAUUUAAUCUACUUAAGGAUUAUAUUUUUCUAACCACAAUAAGCUUAAAAUAAUUAGAUUAGAGGGAAAUUUAAUGAUAUUUAAUAUUACAAAGCUAUUAUGACUAUUGGUUAUUACUUCUAUAGAAAGGAUUUUAUGAGUAACAUGUCCAAAAGACAAUGAACGAUCAUCUAUGACUUCUACAUGAAUAGGUUUAAUUUUCUUCAUUAAAGAUAUGCUAAGUCUUUUAUCCAAUUCUUCAUCUAAGAAAUAAGCUAAGUUUCUUGAAUCUAAUAAGGUAGAGGUUUUGUGAUGUUUUGUUCCUAAAAUAACAUUCAAUGUCAAACAAAGAGAAGGUUCUGAGAAGAAAAUAGAUUCUUUAUUAGGUAUUAUACAAGGUUCUAAUUACAGGGUGUCAUGAUGUAACAUACCCAUUGGCUUUAUAUUAUAAGUGGGUGGUGGAUUUAGUGGCAAUUUCUAUGGGACUUGGACAAAUGAAGUAUUUGGUACUUGCACGAAAAGAUUUAUCAAAUAUAGUUGAAGGACGAGCAUUAAGAAUAAAGGAUAUUAAAGGUGUAUGUCAAUUUCUAUUAGAAGAAGUUAUUUGUCGCUAUAGUUGUAUUGAAAAAAUUACGGCAGAUAGGGGUGAAUUGGCUGCAAAAGAAGCACGAGAAUUCUUUAGUAGGAUAGAAAUUAAACUUUCUUUAACAACAACAUAUAACCCAGAAGGUAAUGGUAAAAGUGAGCGUGGGCAUUCACCUAUUGUUAAGGCAUUAGUAAAUGCAUGCAAUGGCAAAGCACAUGAAUGGCCUAGACUACUACCAUUUGCACUAUGGGCAGAUCGUACAACUCAUAGUUCGGUAACAGGUUAUAUGCCUUUUGAAUUAAUAUAUGGUGAAAAACCAGUAAUGCCAAUAGAAGAUAUAGUACCUAUAUGGGGUGUAUUGCCUUGGAAGAAUGAUCUCAACACAGAAGAAUUUUUAGCAUUAUGGAUUCAACAACUAAAAAGAAGAUCCAAUGAUAUUGAAAUAGCAAUAAAAAAAUUGAAAGAAGCAAGGGAAAAGAAUAAGGAAAGAUUUGAUAAAAAACAUCGACUACGACCUUAGGCUAUUGAAGAUGGUGAUCGGAUAUUAGUUUAUGAUAGUAGCUUAGACAAUCAACAUAGCACUAUGAAGAAAUUUGCAAGGAGAUGGUUUGGACCUUAUAUUGUCAAAAAAGGCACACAACAAUGGAACAUAUUCAUUACAAGAACUUGAUGGUACAGAAUUGAAGGUACUCAUAGCAGGCAAACGAAUCAAGUUAUUUAAACAAAGAGACAAAGACAUUUGUUUUGAUGAAGAAAAAACUCCAGUAUAAGAUAUUGAGGUUGGAAUGGAAGAGCAUAUUGAAGAUCAAGAAUUGUACCAAGAUGAAGAACAUUCUACAUCAACAUAUUGAAAAAUCAUUAGUGCAUGCCGGAAGAUACACAGAUUCAAGGGAGGGUGGAUGUCGUGAUGUAACACGACUAAUAGGUGAAAAAGUGUAGAGAUUAUUGUAAUUUAAGAGAUCUUAGUUCAAAGUAUUAGAAAAAAUUAUCUUAGAAAUAUAGUUAAUAGUCAAAGGGGUAGAAAAAUUAAAAGGUACCAAUGCUGCCUUAUAGAGAGGUAACUUCUAUUUACUUUGUAGCACCAUAAGUAAGGGAAAAUAAGGUAGAUUGGAAAAAUAAAUGAUAUAAACAUCUUUAGGGGGAAGUUAAGAGUAAACUCUAGAAAAAAGUUACUUAGAAAAACUAGAUAUUGAUACCAGGAGAGGGCUAGUUAUGAACUAGGAUCGAAAUCAGACCCUGGGGCACAAAACCGAGUCUCGAUGAUGACUCCAGGAUUCUUUUGGAGAUCGGAGAGUGAGGUUUGAUAGCAAAUUGAAUAGGCUUUCUAUGAGCAUUAAAUUUGGGUCAGUUGGAGUUGAUAUGACUUUGUAAGAGCUUUGCAAAGUCAAGAUUUGUUUCGGAAGACUUGGGUUUUAUGAAAUAAAAUAGGGUUUACAUUUUGGGUGAUUUCAAGAGUUUUGUAAUAGAUCUACAAGUGAAACUUUGUGGAUUUAUGGUUAUAGUUGUGUUUAAUAUGUGUCAUAAAUUUGAGCUUGAUCUAACGGUUGAAUUGAGGAAUAUUGAGGUUUAAGUGGGUCAAGAUCUCUGAAAGUAGAAUUUUAGGUUCAGUGGGGGUUUUUGAGAUUUCUUGCAAUCUAUUAGUUGGAUUGGAGUGAAACUUAUGUAAGAGGAUAUUAGACUUGUUUUUUUUAUGUGUAUGAGAAUUUUUAAAUCAAUCGAACGGUGCAAAGAAGAGAUAUUGGCUUUGGAAGAUUGGCAUCAAGAUUGGAGAAGGAGGCCGGCCAAUACCCAAGUACAUUUUUGAGGUUAUCAACAAUUUGGUAACUCCGAUCCAUAUUAAUUUUUUUAUACUUGUUUUUAACUUAAUUUUUUAGAAUUGUGCAAAAUUUAAGUUAAGAUCAAUGGUUUAUUCAUUAGUUAUUGAGGUUUAAAUCUGUUGUAGGAAUUAUUAGGGUUUGGUUUAGGGUUUGGUUAGGAUUUGGAUUAUGAUUUGAUUUAGAGUUAAGGGUUUGGUUUACGGUUUAAGGUUUGGAUUAGGAUCUGAUUUAGGAUUUGAUUUAGGAUUUAAGAUUUGGAUUAGGAUCUGGUUUAGGAUUUGGUUAGGGUUUGUUUUAGGGUUUAGGAUUUGAUUAGGAUUUGAUUUAGGGUUUAAGAUUUGGUUAGGGUUUGGAUUAGGAUUUGGUUUAGGAUUUGGUUAGGAUUUGAUUUAGGGUUUAAGGUUUGGUUAGGAUUUGAUUUAAGAUUUAGGAUUUGGAUUAGGAUUUGGUUUAGGAUUUGGUUGAGAUUUGGUUUAAGGUUUGUUUAGGGUUUGAUUUAGGGUUUAUGAUUUUAUUAGGAUUUAAGAUUCAAUUAGUUUUGGCCUAAAUUUUGAAUGAAGUUCAAUAGGAUUUUAACUAGAAUUAAAUUAAGAUUGAAUUGAGAUGUAUUUGAGUGAUAUUUGUAUUCUUUUUAAUGUUUCUUUAAGAAUUCUUAUUUUUUGUUUGAAAUUUCUUUGAGGUUUUUUUGAAUUUGAGUAAGCUUGCUUAGCAUUAUUAUGGUAUAAUUCGAGCAUUGUUAGUAUUCUAUUAGAAUUAGGAUUUUGUUAUUACAAUUUUCAUUCUUCCUUCCACAGCCAGGUGCCUUGAGCAUUUUCAAGAAAGACUUCACGUAUUACGACAACGGUUCCUAAUAUAUUUGAAUAAACUCAUUUUUUAAUAUAUUGUCUUCUUUGACAUUUGUACUCUUUAUUUUAUAAUUAUAUCACUUCUUUGGAAAAUGUUGAAUAAUAUGCUUAGGUUCUUCAUAAUAUAAGGACAAUCCUUUUUGAUGGAGAUGAGUCUUUUCUUGCUUAAUAAGAGAUUUGAAUCGUACCAUAUCAAAUUAUAUAUCUUCUAUUUUUGAAUAUAUGUAUUGAAGGGGCAUUGAUAUUCCCAUUGAAUUAUAGUAAUUUUGAAGCUUAUUUAUUCAAUUCUUAGAUUAAAAUUCAAAAAGUCAAUUGUCACAUUUCAUAGCAAAGUUAAUUGCUUGAUUCAAUGUUUGAAGAUUAAAUAAGUUGAGCAUCAAUUUCUUUACCUCAUAUUGUAAUCCAUAGAAAAAUUGGCUAAUAAAUGCAACAUCAUUUUACUUGAUAUUAGUUACAAGUUUUCAAAAUUGUCAAGCAUAUAAUGUUACAGAUGAAUUGCUUUAUCACAAAAUAUGGAUCUUAUUGAUUACAAUACAAGUAGCAUCAUGUUUUCUAUACAUAGAUUGAAAUUUUGCCAAAAAAGCCUCUAAAUUAUCUAAUAUUGGACCUUGAUAUUCAAAAAAAGAUUAAAACUAGGAUAAUAUUGAACUUGAAAGAAGUGUAUCAAUGAAUUUAACUUGUGAUAUUGGAGUUGGAUAGCUUUGGAAUUGAAGUUCAAUUACAAGUUGUACUUGAUUAAUAAAUCCUUAAAACUUUGAUUUUGUGCCAUCAAACUUCUCAAACAGGGUAACUUUUGGUUCUCUAGUAUUAAAAGGAUGUUUUAUUAUAAGAGAAGGAACAUGAUUUGGUACAAAUAUUGAAGUAGCUCCAAUCAUAUCUAUAUCUUCACUUCUUGCCAUUCUUAUUGCUUCUUAUGGUGGUAAACUUAGUUGAUGCAUUGUAAGCAUUAAAUCCUUCAAAUAUUCUUACAUUUAUGCCAUUACAAUCUUCAUUUCAACAAACUUUGCCAUUAUAAUACUUAGAAAAAAAAAUCUAAUUACGCUCAAGUCCUGUAGAAGAGAAGAUUGGACAUCAAAGAAGAUACUAAGAAUAAUAAUAAUUUAAAAGAGGAUAAUCUAUAACUUCUAUUAGGCUUAUAUUUUAUGAAGAUAAAGAAGUAAUCCACUCUUAAUCAAAAAAAGACAAAGCUUUGAUAUAAUAAAUAUAUUCUUGUCAAUUUAUUAGGGACAAGAAUUUAAUAAAAAUAAAUAAUUAGUAUAAUAAAAUAGAAAUAAAGCAAUAUAUAUAUUAAAAUGAAACUGGAAUAGCUAUUAUCAAAAGACAAAGAAACUAGAGACUCUUGAAUCUAGAUUAGAAGCAAGAAAUGAGUUGACAAGAAUAAAAAAACUUCACUCUUACCUCUAUAUAUACUUUCUAAAUAGGAGCUAUGUGGCAAUGUUCUAUAAGACUUCUAACAUAUGUUGACUUUGCAGAAUACAUACUUUAGCUUACAAAGUAAGUUUUCUAUGUAACUGCUAUAUAGUUAGCUUGUUUUUCAAGCUAACAACAUGUGUGGUACAUGGCUAAUUUGUUGUCGACAUUUAUAAUCUAAAAAGUCAAUUAUAAAUACCUAUAAAGUCAAAGCAGUGUCUAUAGAGCUUCUAGAAAGCUCAUAUAGAAGAUAUUAUGGAAUUAAUUUAUUUUUACCUACUUUUAUUUAAUUAUAUAAGUAAUUAUUGGUUUACAUUUAUAUUUAUGUGACAAUUAGCUAAAUUUCAAUAUUUCAUGAAUGAUGUUUUUUAUAAAUUUUUUGAUGAUUUUAAUAUUUAUUAUUUAGAUGAUAUUUUUAUUUAUUCUAAAAAUACAAAAGAACAUGAAUUUUAUAUUUGUCAUGUGUUACAAAAACUUAGAGAUAUAAGAUUGUAUGCCAAGAUGAAAAAGUAUGUAUUUUACACUGCUCAAGUUGAUUUCUUAUGAUACAUCAUUUCUAAUAAAGGACUUAUGAUGGAUCUAAAAAUAGUUUAGACUAUUAUGGAUUAAAAGGCUCAAAAAAUAAUCAAAGAUGUAUAAUAUUUUUUAAGAUUUGUCAAUUAUUAUAGGAGCUUCAUUAAGAACGUUUUUCAAAUUGUGACUUCUUUUAUAUACCUAACAUAUAAAGAUAAAAUUAAAUGGAGCAAAGAAGUUGAAAUAUCUAUUGAAGCUUUAAAGACAAUAUUUAUUUUUAUACUAAUUUUGUAUUGUGUCAAUUUUUUUAAGUUAUUUUUUAUAGAAAUAUAUGUAUAGGACUUUGCUAUAGAUGUUGUUUUGUCAUAAAUUGGAACAAAUGACAAGUUCUAUUUAAUAGAUUUUCAUUCUAAGAAAUUUUUAAAAAUCAAAAAUUAACUAUGAUAUCCACAAUAAAGAACUUCUUGAAAUUGUGGAUUUAUUUCAAGAAUGGUAUCAUUAUUUAGAAGGCAAUUCUAGUCCAAUCACUAUAUAUGUGGUGUUGUAUUGUAGUUCGGCUACCAUGUGAAAAUAAUGUGAUUAUGUAUUUAAUGUAAAAUUUACUUAACAACAUGGUGAGAGCCAUAUUACUAGAUUUUAGUUGGUUGUAGAAUGUGGUUAAAUUACUACUUUAAAAAGAGGUUAUUUAAAAGGAUUAUUAUUAGAAUUUGUAUAACUUUAUUUUUUUUUAUAGUAGCUUUUGAGAUUGAUUUUGUUGGUAGUAAUUUUAAAUAGUUAGAGUCACCUUUACUAGACAUCGAUGACCCUUGAAGUUUUAUUUUGGUUCUUUAAUUUGGUGUUUAGGGCAUAUAUUGAAUAAAUCUUACAAAGAAAUGAGCUGGAGAGGGAUUUUGAAAGUAAAAAGAGAGUUUAGGACAUCCAUAUAGAUGAAUGGAGAUGGAUUAUGAAAACCUCCAUUCCUAUUGGUCAAAAAUCAUGACCAAUAGGCUUUGAGGAGGCUGCCCAAGGCCAUAUUAGAGAUUAGGGUUAGUUUUUCGGAGGCCAUUCGAAUUUUGAAGGUUAAGGUCAGCAAGUUUAGGUUUUUGGCUAUGAUUUUAGUACAAAUCUUGUAUGAUUUGGAGUUUAUAUGAAGGAGAUAUAGGUGCUCAAAGUUAAGGUGUUGAUUUGGAAGCUACCGUCACUCUUUUCAACAAAUCGCACGUGUAUAGAGGGCAAUUGAGGAUCGGUGAGUGCGACUAGAGAGAGCACUUUUGCAGCUACACUUUUUGCAAUUUCUUGCUGGAUUCCAAGUUAAAAUGAAGGAGUUAUUGGAUUUUGAAGUCAGCUCAUGCAAUCUAAGGGUUGUAAGUGAUCCGAUUUACUAGUGGUUGUGUUUUGAGCUAUAUCUUGAGUAAUUUGACAAGAUUUUGGCUCAAAAUUUCAUGGAAUGUGUAAAUUCAUGUUAGUAAACUUUAUACAUAAUUUUAAUGACAUUUGAAUAUUGGGUUCUUGAGAUAUUAAGAAAAUAGUGCUCGGAUGCUUGUAAAUUAGGGUUUAAAGUAUCUGCUAGGGUUUCUUAGAUGCCAAAAGUUUGGGAGUGAAUUUGCGGUUGGUUAUUUUUGUGGUAAAACUUAAAGGCGAAUUCUAUGUACUCUAUAAAUUUGAGACAAAUUGAAUGGUUAGAUCAAGAGUUAUGAAUUUCUAAAGUUUAGGAAGAGAAAAUCCUUCGCAGAAAAAAUAUGUUUUGAAGGAAUUUUGUUAUAUUUUAAGUUUUAUGCAAAUUAAAAGAGUUUUUGGAAGCUAAUACAAGAUUCAUAUAAAGGUAUAAGCUGAACUCUCUAUAGCUAGAUAUCCAAUGUAUUUUUAGAUAGCAAAUCAUGCUAUACGACAGCGGAUCACAAGAAUCUCAAGUAUUUCAUAUUGGCACAGGUUUUGAAUCGUCGCUGAGCUCAUUGGAGCAUGUCUUUAUCAAGAUUUGAUUUAAAUAUCACAUAUUAAUUCAAAAAACAACAUCAUUUAUCAAACAUCAUUUCUAAAUAUUCUUAUCUUACACUAAAAAAAAAAAAAUGCAGCUUUUGAUCAAUAAAGAAUAAUUUUCUUGAAGCAAAAGCAUUUUCAUCUUCAAGCAAUAAAAUCAACAUUGACUAUUGAUUCAAUCUCUCUCAAGCAAAUUCAAUCAAAUAUGUCUUCUAAUCUUCUUAUUUAUGUGUCAUGGAUAUACACAUGUAAGCCAAUAAUUACCUAUAUAAAUAAAUAGAAGUAGAUAGAAGUAGGUGAAAGUAAGUUAAUUCUAUAGUAUCUUUUAAGAAUGCUUCCUAGAAGCUUCAUAGAUGGUGCUUUGACUUUACAGGUAUCUAUUGUUGACUUUUAAGUUAGAAACUUGGUCAACAACUUAACCAUGUACUACACAUGUUGAUAGCUUGAAGAACAAGCUAAUUACUUGGCAAAUACAUAGAAAAACUUGCCUUGUAAAUCAAGGCAUGUGUCCUACAAAGUCAACACAUAUUGGAAGUCCUAUAGAACAUUGCCAUGUAGUCCUUAGUUAAAUAGUAUAUAUAGAGACAAAGAGUGAAGCUCUCUUCACUCUUGUCAAUUCUUUUUUUGCUUCUAGUCUAGUUUCAAGAGUCUCAAGUUUUCUUGCUUUUUGAUAAUAAGCCAUUCUAAUUUUUUUUUAAUAUACGUACUUCCUUAUUUUUAUUUUGUCACUUUUUCUUUGAUACAGAUUUCAUUGGUUUAUGCAUCAUCUUCUAGUUCAUGUCCUUGAUAUUAUACUAUCAAGAAUAAUUCUUCUAAAUCUCAUGAUAUUUCUAAAUUUGAGUUUAAAAAAUAAUCUACUCAACUUUAAGGAAUAAUUAUACAUUCUAAAAGACAAAGCAUGAUUAUAUGUUCUUCAAGCUUAUCUUAACUUCCAACAACCAAAUAUUUUGAAUACAAUAAGAUUCUAAAGAUAAUAUUUAGAGAUUUUUGGUAGCAUCAAAUGUAGAAGGUAGUCAAAGACUUUGUACAAUCAUGUGAUAUUUGUUCAAGAUCCUAAUUCCUCAUCAUUAACUUUAUGGACUUCUUCAGCUAUUACGUAUUUUGAAACAAUUAUAGUCUUCUGUUUUUAUAGAUUUUAUUACUAACCUUUUUGUCUCAGGUUUGUAUGAUUUUAUAUUUGUGGUAAUAGAUUAUUUUAUCAAGAUGAUAUAUUUUAUACCAUAUAUAAAAUCUAUUACAAGUAAAAAAAUAGCUAAGUUUUUUCUUGAUUAUAUCUAUCACUCUCAUAGAUUGUUUAAGGAUAUAAUAUCAAAUAAAAGGACUCAAUUUAUAUCUUAGCUUUAAAAAAUACUUUUUAAGAUUUUAAAGAUGGAUAUAAAGCUUUUUUUGACUUUUCAAAUUCAAAUUGAUAGACAAACAAAAUGGAUGAAUCAAGUUAUGGAGCAAUAUUUGAGGUGUACCAUCAAUUAUCAUCAAGAUGAUUAGACAAUUCUUUUGUCAUUGGUAAAGUUUGCACAUAAAAAUUUAGUAUUCUCUUCUAUUCAAUAUAUAUAUAUAUAUAUAUAUAUAUAUAUAUAUAUUUUAAUCUAUUAUGGUUAUUAUUCAUGAUUUAAUACUUUUGAAUAUUUUAUAAUUGAUAAUCUUAUAAUAGAAGAUUUAGAAAAUCAUUUCUUAAAGCUACAUGCAAUAAUGAAAGCAUACUUAAAAGAAGCUCAAGAAUGACAAAAAAAUCAAUGUGAAUGCCUAUUACAAAGAAAAUCCAGCAUUCAAUAUAUAUAAGAAGAUAUUAUUAUUUUUUUAUAAUACCAAGUCUAUUUGUCUUUGUGAUAAGUUAGACUAUUGUAGGCUUAAACCUUUUCCUAUUUGUGAACAAGUCAAUCUUGUUAUUUAUUGAUUAUAUUUAUUGAAAUCUUUGAAGAUCCAUCUUGUAUUCUAUGUGUCUUUUUUAGGACCAUAUAAGACAAUGAAUAUCUGGAAAAAAAAGACAAAUGCCACUUCUUCCUAUAGAAGUGGAUAAUAAUUAAUAAUUCAAAGUCGAAGAAGUUUUAGAUUUAAGAAGAUGCCAAAUUAAUUAAAAUAUCUUAUUCAUUGAUAUAAAUAUGAUAUUAAUGAAUAUACAUAGAAAUUAACAAAGAAUCUUGCAAAUUCAAUAAAGAAGGUUGAUGCUUUUUAUCAAUAAUAUCUAUCAAAAUUAAAAUGAAGAAUAGCAAAUCUUUGCUAUAAAAGAAAUAAGAUAAAAAAAAAUAGCUUUCUACCUUCUACUUAUAUUUAUAACUUUUGUAUAUUUAUGACGCUAAGAAGAUAGAAAAUCAACAACCAAUAGAUUCAAUUCAAGAGCUUUCACUUACUAACUCACUAGACAAGACAUUAUGAUUGUCACAACCUUCAAGACAAUAGAAUCAAAUGAAAAUUGUCAAGAAUGACAUAUCCUUUUUUGAAUAAAUAGCAAGAUAUAAUAUAUUUGAUAUCAUGACCUUAGAAGAGACUUUCAAUGUUUGGUGAUUUUAUUAGAAGUAAGAAUGAUUCUUGAUGCUAUUCUAAAUAUUUUAUUUGAAAGAAGUUAUGAAGGAUUCAACAAUGUUCAAAUAAUAGGAUGGUCUUUUUGCCUUGAAAUAAGACACUAUCGGUGGCUGAAAAGACCUAUCAACCAUCUUCAAAGAAAAUAAAGAUUAGAAUAUGUGACUGUUAUUCUCGUUGUGUUCAAGCUUUAGUAUACCAAAGCAAUUGAACUAAUAGAGGUAGGUUCGAACACGGGAAAAGACUGGUUAUAUGAAUUGGGUCUGUUAGUGUCACAAUUGACUGUACUCUAACUAUCUGAAAUCAAUUAUCAAACUACAAAACACCAAGGCUUACUACUUCCAUCUUAAUUCAACUUAUAAUCCAUUCUACAACUAUCAGUUCAACAAUACUUUCAUAUUCUUAUCUGUUCAUCUUCCACUUACUCUCUUUGUGGUUUAGAUAUAUUCAAUUAUUGAUCUCCAACUUACCUAUUGUAUUCAAUUUUUUAAUUCAUCAUACAGAAUUCAAUAUCUAGGCUUACGACUCUCACAGUUUGGCUCUCACCUCUCUUUCUUCAACCUCUUUAUCCUACCAAAAAGGUGAUCCUUUAGCCAAUAGAUUCCAAAGGUUAUGACCCUUUGAAUUCUUAACCAUUUAUUCCACUAAUAACUCACUGUUAUCAACUAAACUGCCUAGUCAUCACUCUAAUUCUCAAGGUUAUCAAUAACCAACCAGUAACUUACCACAAAGUUUAUUUACAUAUUCUACAUAGCUCCACUCCUAAUUGUGCAGUGCCUUUACAAACACACAAUUGUUAUCUAUCUAAAAACUACUUAACAAAACUUACAAAGGUACUAUUUCCUCUAGGCCACCCAAUUGAUCAUUUGCUGCAUUAUCAAAUGAGCAUUCCACUAAAUCUGGUUCCAAUUGCAAAUAUUCUUCCUCCUCCUCCAGUCCGUCUAUUGACUCCUUCUUCAACUGGUUUGAGAGAUCUUCAUUACUCUCUCAAUUCACGGACUUGAACUUUCAGUUUCAAGAUCUAGACAUUCCAAAGUUCCAAUUAUUGUUGUUACUGACUCAUCUAUUCUGGAACAUCUUCAAUCGGCACUUGUGAUCGGCUCCUCACUAUUAACUCUUAGCUGGAACUACUACUCUCGAAAAUACAAGAAAUAUAAAAAAAUAGCACUCCAACCAACCCAAAACACCACAGAAUGACUUUAAUUGGUGCCCCAUUCCUAUUCUUUUACUAUCUGAUGAUAAUGACAAUAUGUUACCCAUACUAUCCAUGAAAGGUAAUGAGAAGUAAUUUUUCUUGGUGGCCGCAUUAAAUUUCCAAAAAUCCUGACAAAUUUGGAUUUUUCCGUUCUUUUUCGACACCAUCACGAUUGGAGAAAUCCACUCACUAUUUGGUACCGAGUAAAUAAAACCAACUCCAAGAAACUUGUCCAAUUCUUCCUUCACCAUGAAAAAAUAUUUAGAAUUAAUGCGAUGUUGCCUCUACCGUACCAGUUUAGUGUUCUCCCAUAAAAUGAUACGAUGAUCACAGACUUCAGUGGGGAUAUCUUUUAGAUCAACAUAAGUCCAAGCAAAAGCUUAUUUAUGAUGCAAGAAAAAUUCUGUCCAGCAGGUUAAUUCAUGUUCCUUAAUACCUUCAUAUACCUUAAUUGUCUGAGACUCUAUUGUGGUUGCCAAGUUGAUAGUUUGACAUAAAGGUGCAGCGACGAUGUUCAAUUUCAAUCCCCGUGCUGGUUUAAAAUCAGUCAGUAAGUCCAACAUGUGUGAAGUACUGAAUCUUGUGUCCAAGGCACUCACAUGGUACACAUCAUACUUGGUCAUCUAAUCAAUACUAAUUUUAGCAAAGAUUUUUGAAUCCAUUGAGUAUAUCAAGUACUCCCUCGGACUGCCACAUUGGUACACCACUCCAAGGUGUUGGUCUGCUUCCACAGACGCCUCUGUAAUCGGUGCUACUGCAUCAUCAUUGAUGCUAAGCUCAUCGUUUGAUGUCAAUUCAAAUGUUGGCAAUUGAGAUUCCCGUGAUAGUGUAUUGGGUACAUUUGUAAUACCCUUUUAUCUCCGCCCUUGCCAAUUGUGAAAGUACCCCCACCCCAAUUGUUCUUGGCCUUCGCUUGAUAAAGCCAAGGUCGUCUCAAUAAAAUUAGAUAUGAUAAAGUUGAACAUUAUAACCAAAAGAUGAUGUAGUCAAUUUCAGAUGCAAUACUUGCAAUUAUAGUUUGAACACUCCGUAAAAUAUCCAUUGGUGUAACUCGGCUAUUAUCUGCCAUUCGUAACACCAAUAUUGUGGGUACUAAGUGUUCCAAAUCUAAAGCAUCUAUUGUAUCAGCGUUCAUUAAAUUGACGCUGGAACCACCAUCUAUUUGAAUACCCGAGAUCAUAAUAUCGUCAAUGAAAACAUCGAUAGUUGGUGCACUUGGGUCACGGUUCAAACUGACUUCACAAACUUCCUUAUUGCGUUGCCUAUGUUGUGUUAACAAUGAAUUCAAUGUAGAACAGUACUUGGUGCAACCGCUAGAAGUUGCUUCAUAGAAAUAGAAGAUCGAAUAGCAUCCAGAUCCUUCAAAAUAUCAUAGGGUUCUAUAUGUAAGGUAAUACCCAAUGCCCUCUUCCUUUUCAUUGGUUUGAAUUUAACUCCGUGACGUAAGAAAUUCUUUCGCCCUGGACUUAGAAUUAGAACAGUAGACGGAGCUUCCUUAGAAUUUGCACCCUUGAGAGGAUCUUUCAAUAGAAACGAUGUUUCCUGAAACUGUGUAGAGAACGAAACAGCUCGACAGAGAACUGAAGCCUCCGUAAUUGGUACCUCAUUAGGAUGCACAACUGAUUCAGGUCUUAUAUUGAGUAAGGAGCCCAUGUUAGGACCUGGAUUGGAUGUCCCCAUAAUUGGGUCUAAUUGGCCCUUCCCUUCAAGAUCAUCCAAAUGUUGAAUUGCUCCUUUCUUCUUUUGCUGACUUCUUGUAUGGACAACUUGGACUAAUUCUACUAGAUGAACUGAUGAUUCUUGUGUCCUAUUAUUUUUUUCUUCUAUAAUUUACACAGUCGAUUGUAUCUUUUGAUCAUGAUUAUUAGGGUUAAAUGGAACAUUACAUUGAUAAUGAAAAUGACCCGAUUGCUUAUAAUUUCUAAAUACUGGAGCAUAUUUGUCUAUAAACCUUGGAUUAGAGCAUUCAUUGGCAUAAUGAUCAAUUUUUUGGCACCGAUAGCAACGUAGUGGUUUUCGACCCUUACCGUCAAGUACACUUAGAGUCUCUAGUAGAAUAUAUCUACUAAGCCGAUUCCAGGUAGUCAUAGUAAAUGAUCCUGGUUGACCAGUUGCUACUGGUCAAGAAUUGGAAUGCUGAAUUGGUAUAGUUUGGAGAUUAUCCCCUUGACUAUUUCCACCGUUCUGCAUCUUUGUUCCAUAAAUCAGAUUAUAAUUAGUAUUUUGAAAAUUUCCAAAGCCAUGAUUAGGUCGAUUUGAGUCAUUAGUAUUCCAACCACCCAUACUUCUAGUCUGUACUUGAUUAACAUCCCAUUGAGUUGGCUAUAUUGUCUGGUUAUUGAAUUGUUGUUGCCUUUGUAAAUGCCAAUAGUUUUGGAUAGGGUGCUUUCUUCUACAAAAUGUACAUUGAACUCCCGUUUGUCUGGGUGAUGGAAAUUCCGUAUCAAAAUGACCUUGUCCCUUACAAUUAUUAUACCAUAUAUUAGGUCUUGUAUUAGAAGGCUUAUGUCGUUUUUUCUUAUCUUUAGCCAAAUUCACGACUAAUUCUUCCAUCUUCUUUGUUAGAUUUAAUAACAAGGCUUUAUUUGGAUUUUUAACAGUCGCAUUUGUAAACAACUCUGAUUGUUGAUAGGUUGGCGAUGUAAAAUAAGGUGUCAUCUUUAUUGGCGCUAUUGCUUGGAAUAAUGUAGCAUUAAUUGGUUGUUGCAACAUAACAUUAUUCACAUUGGAAGCAGUCGUUUGUGGAUAAUUAUCCAUCGACACAUUUUUCGGUUGUAUUUGUUGGCUUCCUGAAUUUGGAAUCAUCGUGGCCCCCACUGUUAAUAAUUGGUCAUAAUAACAUUCUUUCUACACCUUUGCUUGUGCCAACGAUGCCUCUACUGUAGGUAGUCAAGACUCUUUUACAAACAUUUUCAAUUCUGGUGGAUGCAAACCAUUAAUAAUAUCGAUAAUAAAAAUGCAUCAGGCAUUUGAUUAUUUGACCAUUUACAAAGUAUAUCCGUGAUUUAGCCAUAAUAAGAUUCUAUGGAUUCCCCUGCAAACAUCCUAUUAUUCAUAAAACUUUCUCUAAGCCGAUCUUCAAAUCCAAUUGGUCUAAAAUGGAUUAGGAAGGCAUUCCUCAAGGCCUCCCAAUUGAAAAAUCUAUCCACUGGUUGCCAAAUAUACCAUUCAAAAGCUGUAUCUUUUAAAGUUACUGGCAACCAUCUCAACCAAAUGUCUUCAGUUUUACUAUUAUUAGCCACACAAGCUGUCAAGAAUUGAGAUAUAUGGUGAUCGAGAUCACAGCCCGGCCAACCACUAAAAGUAGGUAAUGGUGCCACAAUUGUAGUUCGGUCUCAUAUUGGUCCUUUUUGUACUACAAUUGGUACUUCUGACACUCCCACAGCCAUUGGUGUUAUCACUGGUCUCUUUGCUAUUUGAAUUUGAAUUUUUCUUCCUUUGGUUUUUCUUGGACCUACAAUUCUUUUUUGUCGUUCCCGUAGGAUAUUUCGUAUGCAUAAUCGCUCUUGUCUUUCUUUCACUUGUCGAUUAAUUCUUUGAUAAUCCUCUCCUUCAUGAUUAUCACUCAUAAUCUUUUAUUCUUCCCAUACAAUCAAUUUCUAACAUUUCAUAUUGUUAUCAUUUUCCUGGCAGCGGCGCCAAAAUGUUGUUCUCGUUGUGUUCAUGCUUCAGUAUUUCAAAGCAAUUGAACUAAUAGAGGUAGGUUCAAACACGAGGAAAGACUGGUUAUAUGAAUUGGAUCUGUUAGUAUCACAAUUGAUUGUACUUUGGCUAUCUAAAUCAAUUAUCAAACUACAAAACACCAAGGCUUAUUACUUCCAUCUUAAUUCAACCCAUAAUCCAUUCUAUGACUAUCAAUUCAACAAUACUUCUAUAUUCUUAUCUGUUCAUCUUCCACUUACUUUCUUUGUGGUUUAGAUAUAUUCAAUUACUGAUCUUCAGCUUACCUAUUAUAUUCAAUUUUUCAAUUCAUCACACAAAAUUCAAUAUCUUGGCUUAUGACUCUUACAAUCUGGCUCUCAUUUUUCUUUUUUCAACCUCUUUAUCCUACCAAAAAGAUGAUCCAUCGGCCAACGGAUUCCAAAGGUUAUGACCCUUUGAAUUCUUAACCAUUUAUUCCACUUACAACCUACUAUUAUGAACUAAACUGCAUAACCAUCAGUCUAAUUCUCAAGGUUAUCAAUAACCAACCAAUAGCUUAGCACAAAGUUUAUUUACAUAUUCUAAAGUGAUAAAUAUAAUUUGCUACAUUUUAGAUUUCUUGAAUAUAUAAUGAUUGCUUCUUGUAGAACUUAUUUCAAGUAAGAGAGGUAAUAUCAUGGACAUAUAUAUUUUUUCUAAUAUUUUCUUAUAUGAUUAAAUAGAAGUAAGUAAAAAUAGAUUUAUUUCAUAUUAUUUUUUAGAAAAAUUUUUUAGAAGCUUUAUAGAUGCUGCUUUGACUUUAUAUAUAUUUGUAGUUGAUUGAUAGGUUAGAAACUUAGUGAAUAAGAUAAUCACAUAUUAAUAGCUUAUAAAAUAAGCUAACUAUAUUGUGUACAUAUAAAUAAUUUGAUUUACAAGUUGAAAUAUGUGUCUUACAAAGUCAACAUGUUUUGAAGGUCCUAUAGGACAUUGCCAUAUAGCUCUUAAUUAAGAAUAUAUAUGGAGAUAAGCGUCAAGCCUUCUUCACUCUUGUCAAUGCGUUUCUAAUGUUUAGACUUAUUUUUUAGACUAUUUAGUAUUCUUGUCUUUGACAAUAUCCAUUUUGAUUUAAUAUAUUACCAUCUUUAAGUAAUUUCUUAAUCACUUCAAGUGAUACAAGAGUAUUUUGAUCUUUUAGUUUUUUGAGAUUCAUACCCUUGAUAAUUAGAGUUAUUAGGAUCUUCUUGUUUUAAGUUCCAUUUUAUCUUCCAUAGCCAAAUGUCCAUUAUAUUCACAAGAAAUUUUCAUAAAAUAUAAUAAUGAGUUUUAUGAUAAUUUUUCAUAGAAGUUACUAUAUCUUAGUUACAUCUUAUAACCUUAUAGUAUUCAAUGUGAAAAGAUGCUAUGUUUUCUCAUGAAACUUAAGGUUUAUGUAAUAUUUCAUCUUCUUCUCUACACAAGUAUAUGAUAACUAGUACCAUUCAUCCAUAUUCUUUUUUUGUCUCUAUUUAGAUUCUAUAUAUUAGCAUUAUGGAUAUACAUAUUUAUCUAAAGAAGAAAUGCUAUAUAAAAGAUAAAUGUAGAUAGAUUUGAUAUUAUCUUAUAGUAUAGUUUCUUAGAAGCUAUAUAAAUAAUUAUUUGAUUUUAUACAUAUUCAUAGUUGAUUAGUCAAUUAGAAACUAAGCCAAUAAAUUAAUCAUGUAUCAUAAGUGUAGAUAGUUAGUCGUACAAGCUAAUAAUGUGGCGUGCAUAUAAAAAACUUGUCUUGUAAGUUAAGACAUGUGUCUCACAAAUUAGACAUGUAUUAAAAGUCUUAUAAAAUAUUACCACAUAGCUCUUAUAUAAUAUAUAUAGAGGCAAUAGUCAAGCUUUUUUCACUCUUGUCAAUGGCUUUCUAGUCCUUAGUUUGUUUUAAGACUUUUUAAUCUUCUUAUCUUUGGUAAUAGCCAAUCUAUUUUAAUAUUAUAUUAUCUUUGGAUAAUUUUUUAAUAUUUUUGAAAAACAUAAAAGCAUAUUGAUCUUCUAAUCUUUUAAAAUUCAUAUCCUUGAUAGUUUGAGAAGUCUGCUAACUUAUUGUUCUUGUUUUAUUUUAGAAGUGAGUAGAUUAUCAUACAUCUACUAUUAUAUUUUAAAGGUUAUAAACUAUCCAUCUUUAUACUAAUUUUUAAUUUUUUAAAUAUUUAUUAUUUUUCUUAAAGAGAGUAGACUAUAUUUUUGUAUAGAAAUUUUCAUUUGAUAUUAGAAGCUGCAGAUUACCUUCCUUUAAUUUGAGUUAUGAAUUCAUUUGAAAUAUUUAUGGAUGCUACUUAGGAUAGAAAUAAAAAUAAAUUUGUAACUACUACAAAUCUUUAUAAUCUUGUCAAUACUUUUACAAUCAAAAUUUCAUAUAUUUCUAACAUAAACUAUAGAGGUACUAUUUCUUCACCUAUGAUAGAAGUCAAUAAUGAGGUUCAGACUCUACACCAAGAAAUUAUGUAAUUAAGAGAAGCAAGUAGAUCAAAUUUACAAUUAAAUGCUAAAAGCCUUAUUUUUAUAAGUAUGAAAGAGACAAGGAUAAAUAUACUUGAGAAGUUUAAUAAAACAAGAUUAAAAUUUUGAAGAUUUCUACAAUAAGUGAAAUUCAUUUUAAAAUUCUAUCAUUUCCAAUAUCAUGAUGGAUUUACUCAAGUUAGAUUUAUAGAUACAUUUUUAUUUGAGAGUACUUUAACUUAAUUUUUACCUUUAAUGGAAAAUGAUUCAUAACCUUUUUGUGAUUUGAAUUCAACCUUAGAAGUCUUUAUGGCCAUGUUUGGAGACAAUGAUCAAGAAUAAGUAAUAAAGACCAAAAUCCUAUGUUUAUAACAAAGAUCAUGUUUACCUACUAUAUUUGUUAUAAAAUUUUAAAAUCUUACUUUUAAUAUGGAUUGGAAUGAUGAAGCUUUUAUCAAUUAAUUUCAAUAUGGAUUGAAAGAUAAUAUCAAGGAUUUAUUAUUGACAAUGUUGAAAACAAACUCAUUGGAGUAAUUUAUUGCUUAAGCCAUUGCAUGCAAUAAUUGAUUCUUUAAAAGACACAAAGAACAAAGGCUUAAUUGAAGUGAUACAAGUCAAAUAAUGGUAAGAACUUCUAAAUUUGUAGAAGCUUAUUUAUCAACGCUAGAAUCUAUAUAAAUUAAUACAAAUUAUUUCAAAUCUCUUAUUAAACAAGUUGAUCCCUCUUUUACAGCACGUAUGAGAAUAUAGAAGUCUUUGCCUUGUAUUAUAGAUUUAGGAGCCUCAACUUAUUUUAUAGACAAAGCCUUUGUUAAAAAAUAAAAAUAUUUUUAAUUAAGAAAAUAAAUCCAUACAUAUAAAAGUCAUAGUAGAUUAUUUAUUGUUCUUUAAAGACAUUAUCUAUGAAAUAAUUUUUUUAGAUACAACAAUUAAAGAUCAUAAUAAUUUAGUAAUAUUUAAUGUGAGUAGAUUUUUUUUAAUAUAAUUAUUUUAGUAUUAUUAUGGUUAAAAAAAUAUAAUCCUCAAAAAGACUAAAUUUUUCAUAAUCUUAAUUUUUCUCAUAAUUUAGCCCAGGAUUCUACUUAUCAAAUAAAAACCUAUAAGUCCAAUACAUCUAAAUCCUUGUUGGUAGGUGCAAAAGCUUUCAUACAUGCUGUAAACAAGGGAUCAACUUUUGAUAUAUAUACUUUACCUAUUUUCAAUGAAAAUUCAUCUUUGAGAUGAAGAAUGCAAAUAUUUUUCUAAAAUAUUGUCUCUAUUAUUGUUCCAUCAAUCUUUAAGAAGAAGCUCAACCUCCAUUUAGACCAAUCCAUAGCUUAUUAUAAAAUGCAUUGAUUGUAUUCAAAGAAUACAUUGACAAGAAUUUAGUUAAGAACUUUAUAUAUCAUUCCAAAUCUCUAGUAAGGACUCCUAUCUUAAAUAUGAAGGAAAUAGGUCUUUGCAAGUUUGUGUGGACUAUUAAGAACUCAAUAAGAUCACUAUCAAAAUUAGAUAUCUUUUACUUUUGAUUUUAUGGCUUUUUGGACAAUUGAAUUAAACAAAGAUCUAUAAAAAAUAGAUUAAAAAAUAUAUAUAUAAUAUAACAUACAUUAAAAAAUAAAUGAAUAAAAAUUAUAUUUUAAAUCAAACAUGGAUAAUUUAAAUAUAAUAACAUACCUUUUAGAUUCAUAAGUAGAUUAGUUUUUUUCUAGCAUCUAAUGAAUAAUAUAUUUUAUAAGUAUUUUGAUAAUUAUAUUGUCUACUAUCUAGAUAACAUUUUAAUCUACUCUAUAAAUAUAAAACAAUAUAAACUUUAUAUUUGUUUUUGGUUCUAAAAACUAAGAGUUGCAGGAUUAUAUGCCAAGAUAGAAAAGUGUGUAUUUUAUACUAUUCUAAUUGACUUUUUAAGUUACAUAAUUUCAAAUAAUGGCCUUAUAAUAGAUCUUAAGAAUUUUUAGACUAUUAUAAAUUGAAAGAUUUAAAAAAAAAUCAAAGAUGUACAAUAUUUUUUAAGAUUUGUCAAUUAUUAUAGGAUCUUCAUCAAAAACUUUCCUCAAAUUGUAGGUCUUCUUUCAUGUUUGACUUGCAAUAGAAGCAAUUAUCUUGUAAUUUAUACAAAACUUCCUAUGGAUGUUGCUCAUUCUCCUCAAGAAUUUUAUUAUAGAUUAGGAUAUCAUCGAUGAAGAUAAUAACAUAUUUAUCCAAAAAAAAUUUAAAAUAUCUAUGCAUGUGAUCUAUAAAGAAGGCUAGAACAUUGGUGAAGCAAAAAGAUAAAGAAAGCCAUUCAAAAUAUCCAUUAUACGUACAAAAUGCCAUUUUUUUAAUAUCUUCUUUGGUAAUAGUUGUUUACCAAUAGCUACUCUAAAGGUCUAAUUUGCUAAAGAUGGUUGCACCUUGAAGUUGAUUAAGAAGAUCAUCCAUAUGAGGAAGUAGAUAUAGAUUCUUAAGAGUCUGUUUAUUGAAGCCUCAAUAGUAGAUGGAAAGCCAAAGUCCACCAUCACUUUUGGAUGCAAAAAAUACAUGUACUUUUCAUAGUAAUACUCGUUUUUGAAUGAAGCCUUUUUUUAAGAGUUUAUCAAAUAUCUUUUGCAACUCUUUAAUUUCAUUUGGUACCAGGUGAUAAAUUAGUCAACUUGCUGAUUUAGCCUCAUAUAAUAAUUAUAUUUAGAAGGAGGUACUUCAAUCAAGUGGUAUGCUACUAUAUAAGUCGGUUGGAAAGACAUUCCAAUAUUCACAUAUGAGUUGCUCUGUCCAUUUUAUUCCUUUGAUUGUUUCUUUCACCACUAAGGCAAGAUUUUGAACUAUCAUAUAUUUUGGUUUCUUAUAUUAUAUUGGUUUCUUUAUAAAAAUCAUCCUUAUAAGUAAGCCUUUAACCACUGUCGUAUUAUAUGUUGUCGUGCUUGGGAAUGCAUUGGACACCUAGCUGUGGAAGGUGAGGUUGUGUUUCACAAAUAUCCAAGAAAUUCUAAUAGGUUUCAUCCAUAUGAGAAGAAUAUAAUCCAAAUUCCAAUUUAAAAGUGCUAAAAAACACUCUUCUUAGUAGCUUCAAUCACACAUAAACCUCAAUUAUCUUGUUACUUUCAUAUUUAAGAAAUUUAGAUUUUUCUUGUACGUCCCAAGCCUAAUUAGUGAGUUUUGACAAGCUGUAAUUUCUAAUUUGACUGUCCACUUGAUAUAAAUUUUGUAUGUAAUUGUCAAUGUAAGUCUUUUAUAUGCUUAAGAAUUUUCAACCCAAUCUAAUUUAGAGAUUGUAAAAAAACCUCCAAAAACUGCACUAAUGUCACUCAGUUGCCAACUUGAAAGGUGAAGCAAAAGUUCCAAUAAUGAAUUCUUUUUUUUCAACCAUUAAUUUUGACGCAAAAUUGGUAUGUAGCUUGAUCUUUAAGUCCUUCAAUACUAUGCCAAAUUUCACCUUGAUCCAACUAGUAGAUCUUUAGAUAUCACAAAAAUCCUACCUAAUGCCAAAUUACCAAAUUCUAAUAUAUUCUUGUAUCAAAACCUAGAUAUCUUUCAAUUACACUAUUGAAUUAUCAAAUUUUUUUACAUAUUCUUAGAACAUCUAAUUAUCCAAGUACUAUUAAAAUUUGAACUAUAGAUGUGAUACCAAUUUUACAAACUAACUAAGAGAGUUAGCCCUUAUUUCAUUGCAUAAAUCCUAAAUUGCCAAUAUAAUCCUUAGCUUCGAAUAAAAAUUGCUAACUCUCUAUCAAAUCCUACCAAAAUCAACCUCAUAUUUUUAAAGAAGAUCUAAUCUAGCUCUCAAAUUCUCAUCUCCGAUCUUCAAAUGAAUCCUUACUUUACCUUAGGUGGUUAUUUUAGUGGCCAAAGGUCUAAUUUUGACCCUAUCUUACAAACUAUUGAUCCUUGGGUAUCAAUCUAACCUAUCAAGAUUUUUUAGCUCAAAUCUAUCUUCAACUUAAUUCUAGUAUCAAUUAUAUUAAUUAUUUAUCCUUUUUAACUUGAUUUUAUUAAUUUAUGGUCUUUCUAAGGUAUUAAAAGAGUCUCUAUAGCUAAAAGGUAAAAUUACUAAUUAACCUUCAACCUACUAAUUAUUAAGAUAAGAAAAUAACCUGAGAGGUUUUUAUAAAAGCCAUAUUUAAAUACCUUGAAUUAUUAUUGAAUCAAGAUAAUUAGUUAUUAAUUAAAAUUUUAAUUUUGAUUAUAGUUUCACUAUAUAGUUGUAUUACAUCACGACACUGCAAAUCAUUUUCUACCUCACUCAAUAUAAGAAUAUGAAGAGUCACCUUGUAUCUACCAUCUUUGAAAGAGAUUGUCUUUACUAGCUAAUCAAUUUACUUAUUUUUCACUUUUAGUCAUGGCAUAUCAUAAAUAACAUCAUAUAUGGACUUUGUUAUUUUAAACUUCUUUCUUAAAACAUAGAUGACAUUCAACUUAAAGAUUUCUUUGUCAUAUGUCUCAUUCAAUAUAUUCUUUUGGUCAUUUAUUAGGUAUGUUCCUUCCUUUGAUCACCUUGGUUUUAAUUCGAAGUUAGUUAGCAAUUCCAAUUGAGAUACAAUUUUCUAUGAAAUUACAAUCCAUAAGUAGUUAAUCCAAUAGAUAUACUAAUUGAUUCUUUUUAUAGUUAUUUAGAGCCAUAUUAUUAUUUUUGAAAAAUACUAGCUAUUUUUAGUAUUAGCCUUUGAUGUCUUUAUUUAAAAAUUCUAUUUUUCUCUAUUUUUUUAUCAAUUUGGUGACUCUUGACAUUAUAAACUUAUCUUAAUUUUUUGGUAUCUAAAUUUAGAUAUUUUUAAUAACCUCCAAUCUAAUGCCCUUAUUCUUAAAAAUAAUAAUACAAUCCCUUCUUUGCCAAUAUUUGUCAUUUCUAUAAUAUUAAUGAUCCUUACAAGGCAUCAAUUUCCAUCAAUAUUGAUUAUUGUGCUAUAGUAUUAGAUAGCAGCAUAAGUCUUCCUGUUAUGGAUUGUACUCUAUAGUUUUUGAAAUAUAUAAUAUCAAUCUUCUUUGUUAUUCUAAUUGCCUCUUUUAAUGUUUGUAGAUCCCUUAAUUCCUACUCUUAUUGGACUACAAGUUUUAACUCUCAUACAAAUCAAUCUAUCAUCUGUGCUUUUGAAAUAUUAUCAAUUUAGAAAUAUAAAAACUUAAAUUAAGAGAUAUAAUCUUGCAUCGACCUAGAUUGUGUAAGGUUAAUUAAUUAAUUGUAUGCCAAAAUUAACUUCUAAACUUGGUCUUAAAUUCCUUUCAAUCACAAAAUCUACCUUGAGCUCUAUAGCUUUGACUUUAAUAUUGCUGUAUCUUUCAAAUAAUUGGUACCAUAUAUAAUUUUUUUGGUAGUAUUUGCCCUAGUUAGUUAGAGGUAUUAUUACAUAUUGAAGAGCCAUUGGCAUAUAUCUUCUUGCCUUGAAGUCCUAAAGUAUGUAUCAGACUUAUUUAAUUUCAAUCUAGCAGAUGUUGGCUCCCUUAUCCUAGAGGCUUCUAUUUGUCUUUGUAUAGUAGCUAACUGGCCUAAAAAAUAUUGUAUCUAAAUUUUGAUCUGAGAUUGUUUUGUCAUAUCUUUCAUACUACAAUUUUCUUAUUAAACUCUGUUAUUAUAAGCCUUCUUUUCUUCUAAUUAAUUUCUUAAAAGUAGCUUGUGAUAAUCCUAAAACAAUAUCUAAUGUGACUAAAACAAUUGACUUCCAACUAGAUCGUGGCUAUAAACAUACUAUCAAAGAAUAAACUAAUACUUGCUCUGAUACCAAUAAAAUGAGAUUGAACUAUUUCUAAGAGCUAAGACCCUUUCAAUCUAUAGUAAUAUAAAUUUCAUCACAACAUAGAAUAGCAUAGACCAAAAUAAAAUUGAAUACAUCUAAAUAGAAUGGAAUAUAAAAAGAAAAAUAGAAUAAAAGAAAAUAGAACAAAAUUGAACAAAAAUAAUAUAAAACCAAACUUUACUAAGAGAAAGUGAUCAAGACCAUAUUUGAUCAGAUAUCCAAAUAACCUUCAUUAGUCCUAUUUAUAUUUUAUUCAACUAUCUUGGAUUUUUUUAGAAUUUUCUUAAUGAUGGACCUUACUUACAUAACCACCUUAAAUCCUUUCUAGAAUGUUUUAUUGUGACUUCCAUAUAAACCAUCAAUCUAGCACCAAUUCUAGAAACUUUUUAAAUAUGGCUCCAACUACCUAUCUUUAUACACCAAUAAUACAAAUAUCUUAUCUAUACUCUAUUAUAGUACUAAAAUUGGCUUCGAAUUCUAAGAUAUAUGUGGUACAAUGAAAAUAACUAUAAGCAUUAAAAUCUAUUCUUUUAACACUUCUUCCAUUUAUUCUUUAAAAUCUUUUGAUAAAAGUUUAAUAAUAAAUUUUACCUUCAUAUCCAUUGUUUUAUAUUUUGUUUCAACUAUAACAUCUAUUUCUUGAAAAGAUUCAAUCAUUUGAUGAACUUCUUUUAAAUAAAUUUAUAUAAUUUUAUUAUUAUCACUUAAUCCAAUAGAUUCAAUCAAUUCUAAAGAAUCAUCCUAUCUAUUUUUUUUAUAAAUAUCAUUAAUCUUUUUAUUAUCUUCUAAUAUAUUAAUUCAUAUAAUUAUUUAUAUAUAUAUAUAUAUAUAUAAAAUCCUCAAUCUUCUUUUAUAUAAUACUUAUAUUUAUCAAAAAUAUUGAUAAAUUCUAUAUAAAAGAUACUUAUAUCUUCUAAAAGCAUGUCUCCUUUUGUACUUCUAUAAUAUCACUUUAUAGUAGUAUUUUUCAAAAAUCCUUGAAUUCUUUGAUAAUCCCUGACAAUGGAUUUUUUCUCAAUUUGUUCCCAUUUUUCUCAUGAAUUGAAGACAUAAUGAAAAUUAUACUACCUAUCUUCUAUUUUUAUUAAAAAUUUGUGCAUAAACUAAACCAUUAUUAAAUACCUUCAUUUCAAUUUAAGUUACAAAAAUAUAUGGUUGCUUCAAAAUCUAGAGAUAAGAUGUUGCAUCUUGAACAAAAAAUAUUUACUCUAGUAUAAUAUCACCAAUUCAAAUUUUCACAUUUGAGCAAGCAUCGUAUAACUCAUCUCAAGUAUUAAUAGCUAUUUAUAUUGCUUAUCCAUGUUCCAUAUCAAUUGGCCACCUUUGCUUUAUGUAAAGAUCCUUAGAUAUAAGAUUUAUCUCCAAAUUGUGGUCAAUUAAAGCAACAACCAACUCAUCCUUAUUUCCAAUCUUCACCAAUGCCUUCGUAAUUCUUCUAAUCCAAUGCUUUUGAAUAUAAUGACUUGAAACUUCUUUAUUGUUAUUAUUUUGAUCAUUAAAAUAUACUCUUUGAUCAUGACUCAUCUCCAAUAAUUAUCAAAUUUAUCUUCUUCAUCUUCAUAUGUGCAUAUAUUAAUAGUAUGAUUCAAUCUAGCUUCAUCUUUUGAUUGUUUCUUUUACUUAAUAUUGUUAAUAAUAACAUGAUGGAAUUUUUUCAUAGCAAUUCUCAAAAUCUCUUUAAAUAUGAACUCCAUCUUAGUAUUUAGUACAUGUUCUUCAAGUACUCCUUUUAAAUAUGUUGCUACCUCAAUAAAAGAGAGUAGUUUAUAAGUUAUUAACUUAUCUUUGCUUUCUAUUUCUUUUAUUUUUUCCUUCAAUGUUGUUGAAGCAUCUUCCAUUGGUAAUUCCUGUGAAGCCAUCUCACAAGCCUUGUCUCUUUAAGUUUGUUUCUUAGAAGUACUUCCUUCUUUUGUAUCUUCAAAAUUUUUUAGUUUCUUUUCCUCCAUCAAGGCUUUACAUUAGCUCUUAAAAAUAUAUACAUAAAUUGAAAGAGCCUCAAUAGGAUCUUUUCAACUUAUUGUACCAUAUAUUGUAACUAUAGUUUUUAAUAAUGCUUACUAAGGUGUUUUUCCUUUUUACAUCAUAGAAAUGAUAAAAGUCCAAAAUCUACUCAUCUCAAUAUUUCCAUCAAAAUCAUCAUCUAUCCUUGCACUAUAACUUGUACUUUUUCAUGUUGCUACUCCAUAUACUAUUAAAGAGUUUUGAAUCCAUGCUCUUAUACCUCCCUUAUCAAAAUUGGUUUAAAGCAGGUCCUCAAUAUCUUUUAAUAUCACCUAUCCAUUCUACCAAAAAACAACUCUUUGUUGCAUCAUAUCAUUAAAUUUAUUACAAUCUUUUCUAAUAUGAAAAACAUUGUCAUAUCAAAUGUAUCUUUAUAUAUAUCCUUAUUUAGAAAUAAUCUUUAAAUUAUUUUUAAAAGUCUUCUCUUUCAAUCUUGCCAAUUUGAUUUAAAGAUCCUACAUCCCAUAUAUAAUCUCUUCAAUUUCCAUAUCUUCUUUUUUUGAUGUAGAUAUUGGAGAUUGAACAAUUGGUAUUAUCUAUUGUAUUAUAUGCACUUGAAUUUUAGAUACAUAUUAUUCCUAUCCUUUUUUCUUUCUUAUUUUGUAAGCAAACUCAUAGCAUCUUUAAUAUUUUUCUACUUCAUUGUCAAUCCUUCAUCUUUUUCUUUGUCUUCAAGAGGCAACUCUAAUUUUUCUUGUAAUUCUCCAUUGGUAGCUUGAAAAAAUAAUUCAAUCUUAUUUGAUUCAAAUAUUAAUCUUUCCACCUUUGAUAAUUAAGAAUAUUGCCUCUCAAGCUCCCUCAAAACUUUGUAGUUUGUAAAUUCUGGUUAGGUCGCUCAAUCCAUUUUAAAAAUGAUUUUUCAGUAACUCAAUCACUAUCCUUCAAAAAAUAUUUUUCCUUUAGUAUAUGUGAAAAUGUCUUCCAUGAAUCUCCAAAAUUCUCCAUAAUUAAUUUAAUAAUUUCUCUUAUUUCCAGUAUUGUAGCAAGUCCAAAUAGCUUAAUCAUCUUCUUUUUAGAAACAUGAUUCAAUUCUAUUUCUUGUUAUUGUAUUAUGUGUGUUCUUGCUUGAAAAUGCAUCAAGCAUCUAGUUGUAGAGGGUGAGUAGAAAUGCAAUAACAAUUCUACUAAGUAUAAUAGAAACUUAAAUAAAUUUUAAGUAAACCUUAAUAAUUCUAAUUAAACUUUGACCAAUUCAAAAUAAAUUUUAAGAAGUUAUAAAAAAAAAAAAACACAAAACACAAAAAAAACACAAAAAAAAUUCAAACUAAUCUUAAAGAAAAAUAAUAAGAAAUAUUAAAGAAAUAUAAAAAUAAACCUUUAAAGAAAUAACAAUAAUCUUAAAGAAAUAUUAAAAAUAAUUUUUUUGAAGAAAUAAUAAAAAAAUCUUUUAAAAAUAUUAAAAAUAAAAAUAUUAACUAAAUAUUAAUCAACCUUUAAAUAAAAUCCUAAUUGAAAUAUUAAUUAAGUCGUAACCAAAUUCUAAAUCAAAUCCUAAUGAACUCUUAAUGAAAUUUUAAAUCCUAGAUAAACCAAAGACAAAUCCUAAUCAAUUUGUAAUCAAGUUUUAAACCAAAUUCUAAGAAAAUCUUGAUCCUAAUCAAAUCUUAGAUCAAAUCUUAAGUUCUAAUUAAAUUUUAGACAAAUCCUAAAUCAAAUCUAAACAAAAUUUUAUCCAAAAAAAUGAAACCUUAAUAACUAACUAGACUUCUAUCACUUACUUAAAGCAAAAUAGAAUCUUAAUAACUAAUGAUCAAAUUAUUGAUAUCAAUUCAAAAUUUGCAUACUUCUUAAUAUCUUGAUUAAAAACAAGUAUAAGAAAGAUGAAAUCAAUUACACUUACCAAUUGAGAGAAAUGUAAGAUAAUCCAAUCAAGUAUUGAACGGCCUCCUAUUCCAACGUAAAUACUAAACUUCUAGCAUUAAUACAACCUUCUUGAACUUUUGAAUUACUCUUAAAUUUUAUCUAAACAUUGAAAAUUGAAUCUAGUAUUAAUACAAAAAAAUUCAUUUCAAUCCAAUUGAUAGAUUACUAAAGAUGUUAAAAAUACUCACUAACCUUCAAAUUCCAAUUUUUAAGACCUCAAUCCACAAAAAUCUUUAUAUACUUCGAUGUAACCAUUUAAUUGAUCUCAAAACUUUUACACACAUUUAAAACUAGCACACCAAUACAUUGCCCAAAAUUCACUUAUAUAUAUACCAAAAAAUUCGAGAAAUCCUCAAAUUUGUAAAUAUAUUUUUAUUUUUUUAAAUCAAAACCAAUUGAAAAUAUUACUAAUUUUAAAAAUCCUUCAAAAACUCAAUAUUGAUUCAAUUGAUAUAAAACCAAUGCUUAAAAUUUGCUCUUCAAGUCUUUUAUCAAAUUCUAUUCUUUAAUCUAUUAAAAAAUCAAAAAGUUGCUGAAUACACAUAAUUUUAUGCCUCAAUGUGUGAUUUUAAUCUAGGUUCACAAUUCGUCAUCUUUGGAUAUCAAUUUUUGAUAAUUUGAGGUAAGUUUUAAUUUAUUCUAUUUUUAAUUUUCUUCUAAAUAUGCCAAUAUUAAUUUCUUAUUUCAUUUAUUUUGAUUUGGCUCAUUUAUGCCUCUACAAAAUAAAUAGAAGUUCCUUCUACAAAAAAGUACCAUUAAGAUAAAAACUUUUACUACCUUUCUAUCUUUUAUUUUUAUUUUUUUACUACAUUUUUUUGCUUGGCUCUUCUAUAAUAACAUCCAUAUUUCUAUAUUUUACUAUAUAAUCAUAUUAUCAUAUAACACCAUAUAUAACAUCUCAAAUAUUUUGAAAUAUCUCUUCUAUCAAGUUAGUUAAUUUUAUUAACUAUUGCUUAUAAUGCUUUGAUUACCUAAGCUUCUUUGCAAUAAUUGCCCUGUUGUUGUUGCAUAAAUAAUAUAAAUUCUUGAAACAUAUUUAUGGUAUUUGGAUCAAAGUAGAUAUUUUAACGACUAGUAAAAAAUCCACUUGAAGCUCAACUUAAAGAUCCACUUGAAGCUCCAUUCAAAGCUCUAUCAAAAACUCCAAAUCCAACCUUCUUGUUUUCUUGGGCUAUUAGUUUCAAUUAACCACUAAUAUAAUUUAACACCUUCUACUUCAAAUUUUCAUGUUAGAUUCACCACUUAAAUCAUAUUAUGUAUUGUCUUGUUUGAAAAUGCACCGAGUAUCUGGCUAUGGAAGAUGAAGUUAUAUUUUAUAAGUAUUUAAAAAAUCCUAAUAUAUUUUUUUCAUAUAAAAAAUGUAAUUUAAAUUUUAAUUCAAAAGUGCUUAAAGCUAAUACAAAGUACUCAAAAAUACUCUUUUUAGUAACUUCAACAAUGCACAAAUUCCAAUUGCCUUAUUAUUUUCACAAUUAAACAAUUUUGAUUUUCUUUGUAAGUCCUAAUCUUAAUCAGUGAGCUUCAGCAAGUUGUAACUCCUAAUUUGACCAUCUACUUGAUGCAAAAUUUUGCAUAAAAAUGCUAAUAAAAGUCUUUUAUAUGCUCAAGAAAAUUCAAUCCAAUUCAACUUAUAAAUUAUGAGAAAAUAUCCAAAAAAUUGCAUUGAUAUCACUUAGCUACCAACUUAAAAGUUGAUACAAAUAUUUCAAUAGUAAUUUUUCCUUCUAAAAUUAUUAACUUGAAUUCAAAACUAAUAUAUAGCUUGAUCUUUAAGUCUUCUAAUACCAUGCCAAAUUUUAUUUUUUUUCAACUUAUAGAUCUUUAGAUAUCAUAGAAAUCCUAUGCAAUCUCAACGUGCCAAUUUCUAAUACUGUUUUGUACCAAAAAUCAGAUAUCUCUCAACUUCACUAUUAGAUUAAUAUAAAAUUUUAUGUACACUUAGCACAUCCAAUCAACCAAGUACUAUCAAAUUUUGAAUUAUAGAUGUGACACCAAUUGCACAAAUUAGUCAAGAGUAUUAAUUUUAAUUCCAUUGCAAAAAUUUAAAGUCAUCAAUACAAAUCCUAAUUUUGAAUAAUAAUUUUAAAAUCAUUCCAAAUCUUAUGAAAAUAAGAUUUAUGCUUUUAGAAUGAGUUUAAAGCUAGCUCUCCAAUUUUAGUUGCCAAUUUCGAAAUGUAUACAUACUUUGCUUUAGGUGGCCGUUUUAGUGGCUAGAAGUUUGAUUUUGACCUUGUACUACAAACAGUCAAUCCUUGGAUAUCAAUCUAAUCUAUUCUAAGGAUUUUUUAGUCCAAAUCUACCUUCAAUUUAAUACUAGUAUGAAUCAUAUUAAUUUUUUAUUUCUUCUACCUUAUUUUUAUUAAUUUAUGGUUUUUUUAAGGCAGUAAAAGAAUUUCUAUAAUUAAAAGGCAAAAUUAUUAAUCAACCUUUAAUCUACUAGCUAUUAAGACAAGAAAUAAACUAAGGGCUUUUAUAAAAGCCAUGUUUAAAUUUAAUGAAUUUUUAUUGAACCAAAAUGAUUAGAUAUUAAUGAAAUAAUUUAUUUUUUAUUAUAUUUUUAUUAUAUAGUCAUGUUAUAGUAUAAUAGUGUUUUGAAUCAUUGCCAAGUCCACUAAAAUAUGUUCUUAUCAAGAUUCAAAUUCAAGAUCAUUUAUUGACCAAAAAAAUAAUAAGAUUUAUUAGACGCUUUUUCUAAAUAAUCUUAUCUUAUAUGAAAAGAAAAAAAUAUUUCUUUUAAUUAAUAACAAAUAAUUUUCUUAAAAAAAAAUAUUUUUAAUUUCAAGCUAUUAAAUCAACACUAAUUGUUGAUUCAACUUUUAUUAAGCAAGUUUAGUAAAGUAUGUCUUUUGAUUCUCUUAUUUGAGAUAUUAAAGAAAAUCUUUCAAAGUCUAACGAUACUUCUAAGUUUGAAUUCAAGAAAAAUCUAUUGUAUUUCAAGGGAUGCUUAUAUGUUCUAAAAGAUGAAGCUCGAUUACAUAUUCUUCUAGCUUAUCAUGAACUUCCAAUAGUAGCAUAUUUUUGAUAUAAUAAAAUUUUGAAAUUAAUAUCUAGGAAUUUUUAAUGGCCCUCAAAUAUAGAAGGCAGUGUCAGAAUAGAGAGAGUUAAGCCUCAAGAAAGCACUGUGCUUUUAGCUGCUACUAAUUGCUAAAUUAAGUCUUGAGAUAAGAAAGCCCAAGUUUGUAUAUGUGUAUAAUACUUUUAGGAGAAAUUAUACCAAAUAUAUAAUUCUUAAGUUCCCAAAAAAUCCAAAAUAUCUUAAAAAACUAUAAAUCUUUAUAUAUCUUUAUAAGAUAUUAUUUCCAAACUUCAAAAAAUUCAUAUCUUCCAAUCGAACCAUUCAAAUAUACUCAAAUUUUAUAUGAAGUACUAAUGUACUUUAAAAAACUACUACAACAAAUUUUAAUUACAAAUUCAUUACAGAUCUUAAGAUAUCACCAAAAUCCUAACAAUAGCUUCAAAUCCUAGUUUUUAUACACUCAUAUACAAUUUUCUUCAUAUCUCACAAACUAAGUACUUAAAUGCCACAAAAUUUACAUGAAUAACUUUUUAAUACAAUAAUCUACCUUCUUCAAAAGGUUUGAGCUCAAAAUUCGUCUAGAAACUCAAGAUAUGGGUCCAACCAUUACUAUGAAUAAAAUCACUUACUUAGUGCUUUUGAUUUGGAUGCACUGACUUCAACUCUCUAUAACUUUUUUAUCCAAAUUCCAAAUUCAUCAAACAGUACAUGAAAAAUGUAGUCAAAAAAGUCUUCUCUCCAACUCUAAUCUCUGAUCCUUCGUUGCUCUUUGUAAACGUAUGUUAUGCCCCAUAGAGUGAAAAUAGGUAUGAAAUUGAUACCUUAACUUUAAGCACCAAUAACUCCUUCAUAAAAACUCCAAAUCACACAAAAUUUAUAUCCUAUCCGUAUCCAAAAACCUAAACUUGCUGAUUCAAGCGUCAAAAGCUUGAAUGCCUUCAAAAGUGAAAUCCUAAUCCCUAAUAAGACCUCGGGCAGCCUCCUUGAAGCCCAUUGGACAUGGCCUUCGACCAAUAGGAAUGAAGAUUCCCAUUUCUUACCUUCAUCCAACUAUGCCUUUCUUUCAUCCCUUCUAAUAAGCCUCCUACUAAUUUAGAUUUUCAUCUUUAGGCUCUAAUCUCCUCUCAAGGCUUUAUACUAAACAUUUAGGUCUUAUAAUUUUUUAAAUACUAUAAUCAAAAUAGAUAAAACUCAAAAUACAGUUUUUUAUAUCCAAUUUAUUUAAAUUAAUUUAUUAACCAUUCUAACAUACACCAAGACUUAUAAUCAUAUUAUAUGUUCUAAUUAAUUCUUACAUGCUAUAAGCAAUUAUAGUACAACAGUAAUCAAAGAUUUUAUAUAAGCUUGUGAUAUUCCUUUAAAAUCAAAAACUCCUCAUCAUCAACCUUAAAGACUUUUUCAACUAUUAUCUAUUUUUAAAUAACUAUAAACUUUUAUUUUAUGGAUUUUAUUAUAGAUCUUUCAAUCAUAGGUUCUUAUGAAUCUAUAUUUGUAAUAGUAGCUUGUUUCACUAAGAUGGCAUAUUUUAUACCAUAUACAAAAUCUAUUACAGGUGAAGAAACUGCCAAACUUUUAUUUCACAAAAUCUACUAUUAUCAUAGAUUGUCUAAAGAUAUUAUAUCAGAUAGGAGAACUCAAUUUGUAUCAAGAUUUUGAAGAAUGCUUUUUAAGAUUUUAAAGAUAGACAUAUAACUAUUUUUGACUUUCUAUCUUUAAAUUCAUGGAUAACCAAAGCAUAUAAAUCAAGUUUUAGAAUAGCAUUCGAGGUGUACCAUCAACUACUAAUAAGAUGAUUGAACAAUUCUUUUUUAUUAAUAGAAUUUAUUAAUAAUAAUAUAAUACAUUCUUCUACUCAAACUUUUUUUUUAUUAAUUGUGAUUAUCAUUCAUAACUUGGUGCUUUUGACUUUUUUAAAAUUAAUAAUUUUACAACAAAAGAUUUGAUAAAUCAUUUAUUUGAGUUAUAUAUAAUAAUAAAGGUGCAGCUAAAAGAGGUUUAAGAACAACAAAUGAGUAACGCAAAUGCUUAUUUUACAAGCAACAAUCUCAUUCCUAUGUUAGUAAUAAAAUAUGAUUACUUCAUUGUAAUAUUAAAACCAUUUUUUCUUGUGACAAGUUGAAUUAUUGUAGACUUCAACCAUUUCUUAUUUAUAAAUAAUUCAAUCCAAUUGCUUAUCUAUUAUAUUUAUUAGAAUCUAUAAAAAUCCAUUUUAUAUUUUAAAUACUUUUUUUAGAGCCAUAUAAGAUACUAAAUAUUUCGAAAGAAAAGACAAAUAUCACCACCUCUUAUAGAAGUGGAUAAUAAUCAAGAAAUUGAGAUAGAAGAAGUCUUAGACUUAAGAUGACACCAACAUAGGUUUGAAUAUCUUAUUCAUUGGCAUGGAUAUGAUAUUAAUAAAUACACAUGAAAGCCAAAAAAAAACUUACAAAUGUAGCAAAGAAGGUAAAAGCUUUUCAUCAAGAACAUCCAUCAAAAUCAAGAUGAAAGAUAACAAAUCUUUGCUAUAAAAGAAAUACAAUUUAAAAAAGAUUACAUUCUAUCUUCUAUCCUUAUUUGUAAUUUUUGUAUAAUUGUAGAAUUAAGGAGAUAAAAAAUCAACAGCCAACAGAUUCAAGUAAAGUGCUAUCAUUUACUAAAUUAUUAGACAAAAAAUUAUAAUUAUCACAAUCUUUAAGAUGGCAUUAUAGGAAUGAAGGCCUUCAAGAGUGAUAUGUUUUUCUUUGAAUAGAUAGCAAGUUACAAUGCAUUUAUUAUCAUGACCUAUGAAGAGAGUCUUGAUAUUGGGUGAUUUUAUUAGAGAUAUAAACAAUCCCUAAUGGUGUUACAAAUGAUUUUUUUGAAAGAAAUUAUGAAGGUCUCAACAAUGAUCAAAUAAUAAGGUGGACUUUUUGUGAUAGAAUAGAACAUUAUCGAUGAUUGAGACAACUUAUCAACUAUCUUUGAAGGGGAUAAAGAUCAUAGUAUAUAACAAAUAUAAUUUUUUAUAUCUUAGACUUCCUUGACAUGUGAUCAUUGCUCGUUGUGGAACUUGUCAAUAGAAUGAAAAAUAAUAUCAUGGACAUAUAUUAAUUAUUAUUAUUAUUUAGGUAAUAUAAGUAAAUAAAAGUAAAUAAAAAUAGAUUAAUUUUAUAAUAUCUUCUAAAAAAGCUUAUUAGAAGAUUUAUAGAUGUUAUUUUGAUUUUAUAUGUAUUUCUAGUUGAUUGAUAGAUUAAAAACUUGAUCAAUAAAUUAACCAUGUACCAUACAUAUUAAUAGCUUGUAAAACAAGCUAAUUAUGUGGCACCAUGUAGAAAACCUGUCUUGUAAGUUAAGACACAUGUUGUGCAAAGUCAAUAAGUUUUAGAAGUCUUAUUGAAUGUCACUACGUAGCUCUUAGAUAGAUAAUAUAUAUAGAAGCAAGAAUGAAGCUUUUUUCACUUUUAUCAAUUCUAUCCUUGUUUCUACUCUAGUUUCAAGAAGUCUCUAGUUUUCUUAUCUUUUGGUAAUAGUCAUUUCAGUUUUUCUUUAAUAUACAUACUUCUUUAUUUCUAUUUUAUUAUAUUUCUUUGAAAAAGUCUUAUUUUUUUAUUUUUUUUAUUGAGUUUUUAUCUCUAAUACCUUAACAUUUAAUACAUAUUUUUCCAAUACUUCUUUUAGAUCUAUAGCUGCUUCAAUAUUAGAGAGUAGUUUAUAAGUUAUUAUUUAGUUUUAUUUUUUGUCUCUUUUACUUUUUUUUCUAAUAUUAUUGAAGUAUCCUUUGUAGGCAAAUCUUGUGAAGUUGUCUCACAAACCUUGUCUCCUUGAGUUUGAUUUUUAGAAGAAUUUCCUUCUCUUGUAUCAUCAAGAUUAUUUCAUUUUUUUUUCUUCCAUCAAGGCUUUAUGUUGGCUCUUAGUAAUAUAUGCAUGAAUUGAAAGAACUUCUAUAAGAUUUUUUCAACUUCAUAGAUCGCAUAUUAUUGUUACAAUUCUCAAUAAUACUUUUUGAGGUAUUUUAUAUAUAUAUAUUAUAAAAUAACAAAAGUCCAAAAUUUACUUCUCUCUAUACUUCUAUCAAGAUUAUCAUCUAUCUAACACUAUAACUUGUACUUUCUUGUAUUGCUAUCAUAUAUGCUAUUAAAGAAUCUUGAAUCCUAACUCUCAUACCUCCCUUAACAAAAUUGGUUUAAAAAAGGUCCUCCAUAUCUUAUAAUGCCAUCUUUCUAUCUUUAUAGAAAAUAAUUCUUUAUUGCACCAUAUCAUUAAAUUCAUUAGAAUCCUUCUUAAUAUGAAAAAUAUCGUUACAUAAAAUAUAUCUUUAUAUAUACCUUUAUUUAAAAAUAGUCUUUAAAUUAUUUGUAGAAGUCUUUUCUUUAAGUCUUACAAAUUUGAUUUGAAGAUCCCACAUUUCACAAAUAAUUUCUUCAACUCUCAUAUUUUCUUUUAUUGAUGUAUAUGCUGAAGCUUGAACAAUAAGCAUUAUUGGUUGUUUUGUAUGUACUUGAAUUUUAGAUAUUUAUACUAUUUUUGAAAUAUUAAUCCUAUCCAUUUUUUUUUUAUAUUUUGUAAGCAAAUCUAUUGCAUCUUCAACAUUUCUCCAUUUCAUUGUCAAUUCUUCAUCUUCUUCUUUAUCUUUAAGAAGCAAUUCCAAUUUUAUCUAUAUCUUAUAAGAAUAUAUUUUCUAUUGUACCUCUAUAAUUUUCCUUUAUAAUAGUACUUCUUCAAAAUCUUUGAAUUUUACAACAACUCUUUACAAUAGAUCCUCUCUCAAUUUUUUUUUAAUUUUUUUCAUAAUUUAGAGAUACUAUUAGAAAUUAUAUUGUUAUUUUUUAUCUUUAGAAUAAAUUAGUGCAUAAGUUGAACCAUCAUCAAAUAUCUUCAUUUUAAUCUAUGUUGCAAUAAUGUAUGGUUGCCCCAAAAUAAGAAGAUAAGAUGUUGUAUCUUAUAUAAAGAAACUUUGUUCCAUUGCAACAUCACCAAUUCAAAUUUUUAUAUCUAGAUAAAUACCAUACAAUUCAUCUCAUAUAUUUUCAAUUGCUUAUAUCAUUCAUCCAUACUCAAAAUCAAUUAGCCACCUCCUUUGCUUAUAAAGAUUUUUAGACAUAAGAUUUAUUUUUAAACCAUAGUAAAUAAAAGCAACAAACAAUUCAUCUAUAUUUCCAACCUUCACCAAUGCCUUUGUAGUUGUCCUAAUUCAAUGCUUUCAAAUAUAAUGACUUGAAUUUAUUUAUUUAUUUAUUUAUUUAUUUAUUUAUUUAUUUAUUUAUUAUCACUUUGAUCAUCAAAAUAAACUCUUUGAUUAUAAUUCUUUCUUUUACUUGCAAAUUAUUUAUAAUAAUUAUCAAAUAAAUAUUUUAUAUUCUCAUAUAUAUAUGUAUUAAUAACAUGACUCAAUCUAACUUCUCCCACUAAUUACUUCUUUUGUUUAAUAUUGUCAAUAAUGAUAUCAUAAAAUUCUUUCUUGGUAUUUUCAAAAUCUCCUUCAAUGUGAAUUUAAUCUUAGCAUUGAGUACAUAUUCUUCAAGUACCCUCUUUAAAUCUUCUAUUGCCUUAAUAUCAAAUUAUAUUUUAAAUAUUGACAACUUAUCUUUGUUUUUUAUAUUUUUUAAUUUUUUUUUAAUAUUACCAAAAUAUCCUUCAUUGAUAAUUCUUAUAAAGCCAUCUCAUAAGUCUUGUCUCCUCAAGUUUGUCUUUUGGAAGUACUUCAUUCUCUUCUAUUUUUAGAAUCUUUUUUUUUCUUCUAUCAAAGCCUCAUAUUAGCUGCUAGCAAUGUAUGCAUGUAUUCAAAGAGUUUCUACAGGAUCCUUCCAUCUUAUAAGUCUAUAAAUUAUAGCAAUAGUUUUCAAUAAUACUUCUCAUAGUAUCUUUUUCUUUUGCAUUGUAGAAAUAGAAAAAGACCAAAGUCCACUUAGUUCAAUAUUUCCAAUAAAAUCUUAUUUCUUAUCAUCAUUCACUAUAGUAUCAUAACAUAUAGCUUCUAUUGCUAUAAUCCUAUAUGUAGUCAAAUUAUCUUUAACUAAUAUUUUCAUAUCUCCUUUACUAAAGUUGAUUUGGAAAAGAUCAUAAGUAUUCUUCAAUGACUUUUCUAUCUUUUUAAAUAAUAAUGCUUUGCUGCAUCAUUUCAUUGAAUUCACUACAAUCUUUUCAAGAAUAAAAAAAAUAUUACACCAAAUACAUCUUUGUACAUAUCUUUGUUUAAAAGUAGCCCUUGAACCAUCUAUAGAAGUCUUUUCUUUAAGCUUUGCAAAUUUGAUUUGAAGAUCUCCCAUUCCAUGUAUAAUUUCUUCAAGUUCCAUAUCUUCUUUCUUUGAUGUAAUCAUUGGAGGUUGGACAAUAGAUACUAUUGGUCAUGAAAUAGGCACUUGAAUUUUAGAUAUCCAUAUAAUUCUUUGAACACCAACCCUAUCCUUUCUCUUUUCCUUCUUUGUACAUAAUCCUAUAACAUCUUCAAUUUUUCUCUAUUUUUUUGUCAAUCCUUCAUCUUCUUCAUUAUUUUUAAGAAGAACCUCAAAAUUUUCAUGCAAUUCUCCAUUAAUUGCUUGAACAAACAAUUUAACCUUGUUUGAUUUUAAUAUUAACUUUUUUACUUUUGAUAAUAAAAAUUAUUGCAUUUUAAACUUCUUUAAUAAUUUUAUACCUUGUAAAUUAUUGUUAGGCCAUUCAAUCCAUUUUAAGAAUGAUUUCUUAAUAACUCAAUCAAUAUCGUCAAAGAAAUAUUCAUACUUUAAUGCAUAUAAAAAAAUCUUCCAUAAACUUCCAAAUUUUUCUAUAAUUGACCUUAUAUGCUUUCUUAUCUCUGAUACUAUAGUAAGUUCAAAUAAUUGAAUUAUUUUCUUUUCUAAAAUAUGAUACAAUUUUAUUUUUUAUACAUAACAUCUCAAAUAUUUAAAAAUAUUCUUUCUAUCAAAUUAAUCAACUUUAUUAAUCAUUGCUUGCAAUGCUUUCAUUGCUAAAGUCUUCUUGAAAUUAAUGCUCUAUUAUUAUUGCAUAAAUAAUAUGAAUGCAUGAAACAUAUCUAUGGUAUUUGGAUCGAAAUACAUAUCUUGUUCUCUAAUAAAAAACCUAUUUGAAGCUCUACUUGAAGCUCCAUCUAAAGCUCUACAAAAGCUCUACUUGUACAUCCACUCAAAGCUAUAGCUUCCAUCUUCUUGCCUUCUUUUUCUAUCAAAUCAAAAUAAGAAUGAAUAAAAUUCAAUACCUUUUACUCCAAAAUUUUAUGUCAAGUUCACCAUUUAUAUCAUAUUACAAGUCUUCUUGUUUGAGAAUGCAUUGAGUACUUGACUAUGGAAGGUGAAGUCAUAUGUUAAAAUUAUUUAAGAAAUCUUAAUAAGUUUCAACCAUUAAGAAGGAAGAAAUUUGAAUUCUAAUAUAAAAGAAAUUAAAGCCAAUGCAAAGUAUUCAAAAAUACUCUUUUUAAUUACCUUAAGAGAAUACAAAUUCUAAUUGUCUUGUUAUUUGCCUUUUUUUGCAACUUCUAAUUUUUUUCUCCAAAUUUUAAUUCUAGGCAACGAGCUUCAACUUACUAUAAUUCCUAAUCCAACCAUCUAGUUCAUAUAAAAAAAAUUAUACUAGUAAAACAAUAUGUCUUCUAUAAAUUCAAAAAAUUAACUUCAGCUCCAAAUUGGUGUUUAGUUUAAUAUAUUAUACUACUAAAACCACACCAAAUUCCUCUUUGUUUCAAUAAGUAGAUCUUCAAAUAUUGCAAAAAUCCUAUCCAACCUUAAAUUACCAACUUCCACUAUGUCCUUGCACUAAUAACUAAAUAUCUUCUAAUUACAUAGUUAGAAUAAUAUGAAAGUUCACACAAAAUUAGCACAUCCAUUCAACUGCAUAUUGACAAAAUUUGAACCAUAGAUAUUGUAUGCAUCUCACAAACUAGUUGAUAGUGCCAGUCCUAAUUUUAUUGCAUAAAUCCAAAGUUACUAAUACAAACCUUGACUUUGCACAAUGAUUACAAAGUCAUUUCAAAAUCUAUAAAAAUAAGCUUUAUAACUCUAAAAUAAACUUGAAGCAACUUGGAAUUUAAGACUUCUUACUUUCUCAUUUAAAUAUAAAGAUCUUUUUAUUUUUUAAUCAAUUUUAAUAUUAAAAUAUAAUAAAUUAUUUACAAAAGAUACAAUAAUAAAGAAAAUAAAAGAUUAGGCUCUAUCCAAAUCUUAGUGAAUAGAUCAUUAUAAGAUUAAAAAGUAGAGAUAAUAUGUUAAAUGAGUCUUUAUUUACUAGACAUGACAAACAAGAAUAAUAUUGGCAAUAGCAGAAAAAGUAUCCAACUAAUACCUUAUGUUAGACAAACAAAAACAAUUCAAGUAGCUUCUUGAAUCAAAAUAUUUCAAUAAACCUAAAACCUUCAAUAGUACCUCUAAUUACUUAUGAAUAAUUUUGUGUUUCUUUUUAAAAAAAAAAAUCUCAAACCAUAAAUUCUACAUCUCUUCUAUCAAUAUUUUUAAAACUCCCAACAUUUGGUUGUCUUCACUCAUAACUAUUCACACAAUUUGAUGUAUCCACCCAUCAUCUCUGUCACACAUGGAUUACCACAAACAAACAAAUGAAGUAAAAAAAGGUUAGAUGAGGGCAAGAUACAAAAAUCGGAUAAUGUCUUGCUUAAUAACGUUUUCUUGUUGAACAGCGGAUGAUGGUAACGUUCAUCCAUCCAAAUGAUGCAGUAUAUGAUUCGUUCAUCUAACUUGGGGGCUUUCUCAUCUCGUCGUAGCAGGAAGGAAACUAGCAGAGAGUAAACCUUCUUCCGCAGCUUUCGAAUCCUUCGCUGUUGUUGUUGCAGUGUCGCGGCGCAAUUGUUGCUGCAUGCACUUCGUUCGUGGAGUGGAGUGGAGUGGAUGCUUCCCCUCUUUUUCCUUCUUCACUUCACGCACUUCGACGCACUCGAGUAUCUUCUCUUGCACCCUCCACUUUGGCAACCUCUCGCACAGUUGAGGUUCUCGGAUCCUCCCACUCGGAUUUCGUACCAGGUGAUUUUUUCAGCAGUUGUUGAACCGAUUGGUUGGAGAUGAAUGCCUCGCUUAGAUGUUAUCAGUUUCACGAAUUCUGGAAUUAUGGGCUGUCUGAAGCAGUGCCUCUCCGCUCUCAACAGAUGAAUUUAGGGUUUUUGUUGUUUUUUUUACUCUGGGGGAAGCGUUGUAUUCUUGUACAGUGUUGCAAUUCUGUUUGUCAGUGUUACGAAUGUGGUUGUGGUUUGAGGACGUUUCUUCGAAAAAUAUCGAUGACUUCCAUGUAUGAGAAAUGUUAGCUCGAGGUUUGGUAGUGGUUAUAGUUUGUCGAGAAUGGCGAGGUUUAGUGUUGUUUAUAUUUUUUUUAUUUUAGGUCUUGCGAUGAGCUAUGGACCCUAUAUUCUUUGAAGUGAAAGAACACUUACAUACCUGAUAGUCAUUGUUGGUUUUCGAAGUGCAUAAAAUUGCAGCUUGUCAAUUUCGGAGGGCAUUUGGGUGUUGAUUCGGAGCUAUUUUAGGUUUGCAGGUGCUUUCUUUCUGGAGCUAACGAGAAUGGCCGCGAAGAGGGAAGGUGAGGUCGAUGAUUUGGCUCUGGUUUCGAAGCGGCAGCGCACCGAUGGAGGAUCUUUAGUCCCCGUGAGAAGUCCAGCUUCCCAGGCUGGCAAUCAACUCAGUACAACUGUGGAGGUAAUACUAUUUUCAAUUGUCACUUGAUGCAACCUUCGUCUUGUUUCAAUACUUAUUCAAGUUCGGUGUUUUCCCAAUGGCCAGUAAAUGCCCCAUAGAAAAUAACCCUUCAUGAGGAGAAGGGUAUGGGAAAUGAGUGAUACUUUGAUUGUUUUUUUCACUCUUGGUCUUAAUCCUCCAUGUAGUAACCCUAGUUCAUCUUCGCAUCCUUCAAUUUUACAUUUUGAAUUUGAAUCAGGAGGCACCCGCACAUUCUAGCUGGAGGAACUCUUGUUUAAUAAGGAAUAUGUGGUGAACUUUCAUGAGCGGAAGUCUUUUUGAUUUUCCUUUCAGCGCAGAUUUUUAAUAUUCAAUUUGAAAUUGUGUUGAUAUUUCAGGGUAUUAAACGGACGUCCAGCCUCGAUGCUCCCAUUAUGCUGCUUACGGGCCACGGAGUAUGUUUUUAACUUGAAUCAUAUUGUUUAAUGUUAAUUUUUCUUCAUUUCAAAGCCUAUUCGUUUUGUGCUCUGCGUACAUCGGCUUUUUACAACUUAACAUCGUUGUUUUUGUUUUCGUGCAGGGUGCUGUGUAUACUAUGAAGUUCAACCCUCAAGGCACAGCAAUAGCUUCUGGAUCGCAUGACAAGGAUAUCUGUAAGUUUCUCUUCAAAGUGAAAAGUUUUCUGGAAGGUCUAUGAGGGCUCAAUUCAAGUACACUUUGCUUGUUCUCUGGCCUAAUGUGUUUUUAUUUUAUUUUUUAUUUUUUAUUUUUAACUUUAUGACCGCAAGGAUAUACCUGUUUUCGUGUUUAGGAUUAUCGUUUUUUCAGUAGUGUUUGUAUCUGCCUGAAACAUGGGGUUGCAGUUUUGUGGAAUGUGCAAGGUGAUUGUGACAAUUAUAUGGUGUUGAAGGGACACCGCAAUGCCGUUUUGGAUCUUUGCUGGACUAGUGAUGGGCAACACAUCAUCUCAGCUAGUCCAGAUAAAACAGUGCGCGCAUGGGAUGCAGUUACCGGGAAACAGGUGUGUUUCUUGUUUUUGGGCAUAAAAAGAUGUGCGAGUUCGUGGAUACAAUGUUUGUAUUAUACUUUCCUAUACAUGUUUUACCAGAACCAUCAACUCGAAAUUCACUUUUCCUCAUCUUAACUUUCUGCAGAUUAAAAAGAUGGCAGAGCAUUCAUUAUAUGUGAAUAGUUGUAGCGCUGCUAGGAGGGGACCACCACUUAUAGUUAGCGGCUCGGAUGAUGGUACUGCUAAAUUGUGGGAUAUGCGCCAUCGCGGUUGCAUCCAAACUUUCCCAGACAAAUAUCAGGUUGGUUUCAUCUACUAGCUUGUUGCUCGCCCGUCGAUACUAAAGGGAAUUUUUCUGAACUCAUAAUAUUCCGAUAUACACUGGAGUGAUGACUAUUUUGGUGGUAAGACUUAGAACUAGUUCCACUGGCCAGGUAUUGAUUUUCAAUGUAGCAUGAGGCUGCUACAUGGGUGUCUUUUAGUCGGGCCAGUUUGAAAGUCAAACUGUAUACCUUGAAUCUUGUGGGCGUUGGCUAUGAUUCAACGUCAAUGGCAUUAGUGAUGUUCCUGAUCCACUCAGUAAUCGGUACGGUGAAGCAGGUUACAGCAGUAGCAUUCUCUGAUGGCGCAGACAAAAUCUUCAGUGGAGGUAUUGAUAACGAUAUCAAAGUAUGGGACCUCCGCAAGAAUGAAGUGGCCAUGAAGCUACAAGGGCACACCGAGACCAUAACUAGCAUGCAAUUGAGCCCGGAUGGAUCCUAUCUUCUUACCAACUCCAUGGAUUGCACGUUGAGAAUCUGGGACAUGAGGCCAUAUGCACCUCAGGUUGGUUGUCUUGUUAUUUAUUGGAUGGGAGCUUUUCAUCCUCCAUUCCCAUAUGUAACCUCGUCAAUUUGCCUUUUUUUUUUUUUUUUUUUUUUUUUUUUUAAUGCAAUGUCUUUAAGCCAAUCAUCAUUGUUUCCAAGUUUUUUGCAGCCUUCCUUUUUUACCUAUAUUACAUCACUCUGGGCCUGCAAUGGGUCCCAAUAGAGGGAGGUGGCUUUAAAAUGUAGUCUCUCUUUACAGAAUGAUACUCUUUUUUUAAUUGUAAUUUGCUCCGAUUGCAGAAUCGAUGUGUGAAGAUAUUCACGGGUCAUCAGCACAAUUUUGAAAAGAACUUGCUGAGAUGCAAUUGGUCACCAGAUGGCCAGAAGGUGACAUCGGGCAGUGCAGACCGCAUGGUGUACGUUUGGGACACUACAUCUCGAAGAAUCUUGUACAAGGUAUGCACUCAUAUGAGUCACACUAGAUGUUAGAUCUGUGGUCUAGUUGCUUUUAGCUUUCAGUCUACUUAGUAUCAUUCAACCAACUUCAUUAUUUGUUCAUAUGCUUAUGAUCAGCACGGGCCUUUUCUUUUACCCACCUGCAGUUCAACAACCUUUUUGUUGCGUCUUAGAAUGAAGUCGAGCAAUUCUAAGAUGGUCAAAUGCUUAUGGAUCUUGUGUUGGCGUCUGGUUGCAGCUUCCUGGACAUUCAGGUUCCGUAAAUGAGGCCGUGUUUCAUCCAAAGGAACCUAUUAUUGGGUCAUGUGGUAGUGACAAGCAGAUCUAUUUAGGAGAAAUCGAUCCUACUGUUAGAUAGAGCAUUGGAACUUUGCCCCAUCGAGGAAAAUCCUGAGUCCUAAGUGUGGUCGCAGCAUCGUCCACGCCUUGUUGACUGGAGCAAAGUACGAACUUUGGACACCAUGCAAAAAAGUCCAAUUUGUGGUGUUAGCAACACUUCUAUGCAUCCCUCAGACUGGUCUAUGGCACUAGAAGGCUUUCCAUCAUCUGGAUACUAAGGCUGGAGCAAUCCAGUCCCUCCUAAAACUCUAUCGAGUUCCCUUUGAGAGCAUCUUUCUCUGAACAUGCGACAACAUGGUGGAGGAUGGGAUACGCCUGAUCUUGGGAAAAUGUACAAACUUAGCACUUGAAAACCAUCUCGCAUGUGUAAGAAACAGGUUUUUUGUGAACGUCGGGACUGAUUGGCUUCCAUGGGUUCAUGCCCUAAAGCUAUGUCCAUAUUAAUCUCCUUGAGCUGAUCAGCGCUUGUGUUUUUUAGUCUAAAGCCGUGCCUCUUGGAAGUGAGAUUGAGUGUAAUAAGCAUUUAAUAAAUCAAUGCUAUACCACGGUGCAUCAGACAAGUUUAAAUCCCUCUGGUCGCCCUUUUCCAUCAGGUUGCGUGCUUUGCUUUGUGUAGUAAUUUGUUCCAAUUCUGAUAAUCUCGAAUUUUACUUUUAAGUUUACUUGGUGUGCUCUGAUUUUAAGUCCGCUCAUCGUACUUAACGCUUACUAAUAAGGGUAUCUCUGAUUGGCAAGCCCUAGGUCAGUAUAUGCACCAUGACCAGUAGUGCCUUGAAAAUAAUACUCUGUCACGUCUCUGCAAUUUGCUAUCCUGUUGCCUCAAAUCACAGCUGCUUCGUCUGACUUCUACGUAUGAAGUGAGUAGAGUGUGGCAGAGUAAACGACAAACUUGUCCUACAAUGGGAGUUUUAACAGUUAGGUUUAGAUUUCUGGCCAGUAUAUAUAUAUAUAUAUAUAUAUAUAUAGAAAUAAAGGGUGGUCACAGUAAAUGUUUCCAAGGAGAUUGCAUUGCGUGAGUUGAGACAGGCGUCUCAAGUCAAAACUGAAGUGGGUCCUUCUGGAAGUUGUUUGAAUCUUCCUUCAAUUAAGAAUAAUCCUCUGAAAGUUUAGAACCCGUAAACACUGAAAUUUGCACAAUCAAGUGAUUGCAGAAACUUGGUACCUAAUAACAAACAAAGUACCAUCAUUGACAUUUCAAAAAGCAAGGUCUCAGCCGGGUAUCUAUUGUUGUGUUACUUCUUAUAACAAUGAUGCUGAAUGUACAAAUCACCAAUCAAUUUUGGUGUACCAAGCUGACCUGCACGCUCAGGCGUUUGAGUGUUUUUCUCUAGACGAUGAACAUGCAAAUUGUCUUUUUCUGCGAAUCCUACAUGCUUGGCUUAAGACAAAAUAUGAUGUCUGUCCACCAGAUUACAUCAAUAAAUGCAUGGUUGAAUGUUCAACUUCUGUGUUGGUCACGGCAACCUCGAGAUUUUAUUGGUUGCUCAUAUUCUAACAAUCUGUAUGUUUGGUUCCUAUUUAAAAAACAAAAACAAAACUAGUGGUUGUUGUUAACUAUACAUAAACGAAAUAUUUUGAAUACAGAUCAAUGACGCAGAGAUUUUGGGUCAAGAAUGGUUUGAAAUAUUUAAACGUUUUGUAUCGUUUCGGAAUGUCAACAUACUGGAUUCUCUGAUGAGCCCUACCAUCCUAAUCUGACACCUAAUACGGUGUCGAUUAUAGAGCACCAACUCACCAUCACAAAAUGUUGAGCUCUACAGCUCAAAAGGCAACAUUUCAACUAAGAGAGGUUCUUAUGACCUUGGUUUCUAGUUCAACUGUUUCAAAGACAACUCUUAGGGUUUACACAAUGCCAAUAGAUAACUGCACAACAACUCAAUCAAGGCUUUUACUGCGAGAUGAGAGGAUAGAUUCUUGUGACACUGCCUUGGAAUGUGUUAAGGUUGCGAAGAACAGACCAGCUGCGCAGCCUGCCAGGCACCCAUACUUAACAACAUCUGCAUUAGAAUUCAAUUCCGUCAAAGUACUGCCGUCACGACGCGAGGUACCGCGUUCGGUACAAUGUACAUCUCUCUCCCAGAUACUGACAACAAUGACACACCCCUUCCGGAAGAUAGUCAAGAUUUUGGGUAUUUAAUUUACCGAAAUUGGGUAUAGUUUAGAGCAGCUUGCUCGUAAUAGGCACAUCGAAUCGCUUAUCACACUAAAGACGAAACCAUGACAAACAAGAAGCAGGAGUCGAAAAGAAAAAGAAAAAACGAAACUCAAUAUAAUUAAAGCAAAAACAACACACACCGUAAACAAAGCAUUAUGUUUAAGGAGCAGCAAUUACGCUCCAUGACGACGAUGUACUCUUAAAAAUAAAAAUAAAACGCAGCGAGACAUGAAGAAUUAGGGCGUAGUUAGUACAAACUCAAAUCAAACCAAAUCAAAGGGCUGGAGUCAAAUUGUAGGACUAUACAGAAUUGAAUGCUAUAACAAAAGAAUAAGUAGGACUCCACAGCCCUGGCAAACUCAUUCUCCUCAUGGUAUGUACCCAUUGUUUUCAUUCGUACAUAAAAAGAAGAAGAAGUAACCACCCACCGGCGAUGCUUUUGCUUGCAUCAGAUCUGCCUGGUUUACGAGUUGGGAGGCUACGAAUCAGAUAAAUCAUACAGUUUCUGGAGUUACGAAGGCAAUGAAUGCAAAGUCUAGCUGAUAACCGCUACCGAGAUCUCUGAGCUCGGAUAAGUCUAUAUCUCUCACACCACAUUUGUCGCUUCGGUACCUCGCAGCUGUAGUUUUGAUCACCCAGUACGUGGGCAUGAUUCAGUGUACUAGUUCCCGAUCUCUCAGGCCCUGAGAUUUGCUGCUCCGUACCUCUAUAACCAGGCAAACGGGAGGGCCACAGGCCCGCAAUAAGCUAGGAGAUCAGUGGCUUACACACACCCCAUUAUAUACACGAUUUCGACGAUAAUUGCUUGCAUGUAUUCCAAGAGAUGGAAUUGAGGAGUUGGUUUGCGAUUGUGGAAUGUUGGGGCUGUGGGUGUUGAGUUUAUUCAUCACCCACCUGCUGACCCCUUCUCGCAGACUCAUGCCUGCUUCAUGGCAGUCUCCAGAAUUGUGUCCUUCAAUAUAGGUGUACAUUAUUAAAUAUGCAUGGAAAUUUUAAAAAACGUGCUGCCGUUAACGAUGAGUCUGUUAGCGUCGCUCAUGUCUCGUUUUGGAAGUUAGAUAAGCGGCUGCGGUGUACUUCCAUAAUUGUACUUCGACAGAACUUGAAUUCCAAAAGUUACCCUCUCUGAAAACCUGCAGCAGUUAUUACUUUUUCAGUUUUUCAUUUGUUUUAACCUACCCGUUCCAAGCGUCGUCACUUCUAUGUAAAUCUUUAUAGACCAACUUGCAUUCCAUAAGCGUUGACGUGUACAUUAUGUGCCGCAUGAACGUGAUUCGGUCCAAACCAAAACAUACGAAUUCCCAACUUCGUGGUGAUUGUGAAUUUUCUAUUUUCAUACAUAAUUCAAUAGCUUCUAUCUGCAACAUUUUAAGUUAAAAAGGCUGGAAUAAUUGAGUAAGAAAAAUGUUAUUUUAUUAACUUUUUACUUCGAAUGAGACAUUCUCAGCCGCUUUUGAAUAAUACGAAAGACUACUAAUCGUGGAAGUCGCUGUAGUUCAUUGAUGCAAUUGCAUGAAGAUUACUAAGAAUCUUACAGCGACCUCCCAUUCAAAUAUGGAGAUUACAACUUUGUGUGAAAACACGUCAAUAAGCUACAAUCACUCUCUUGUGCAGGGAACAAAGUUAUAUUUCACACGAUAUAUCAACCGUGAUCUUAGAGCAGAACGAAGUUCUCCGUGUUGUCGAAGACGGCUCUUCUUAAAAUAGAUCGAUCUACGUGCAAGGAACUCAGAGUUAUUGAGCAUUGAUGAUGCAUGUACGCAGUGCAAUGAGCACCAGCUCAAUUAUAAUUGAUCUAAUGCUGUCUCACUCCCACGUUUCUAAAAGAAGGCAUCAGACUAGCAUCUCAAAUUUGCAAGGGUUCCACUCAGCAUUAUGAUCUUCUACUACCACUGAUCCACGGAGGUUUCAGAUAUUCAUACAACAAGAGGUAAUACGCACAUAAAAAACACGAAUUCAGACAGACUUUGAUCUCUCUUUCUGUGAAAAUGAAACAACAAUUUAUUUCAACAGAAUUUGAACUGUAAUUCAAACUGUUGCAUUGAACAUAGACGCUGUAGUUCAAAUUUAUUCUAUCAAACCAUGCUUCGGGGAUUAGGAUCGAUACGAUGUCAUACAAAAACAACGACGGCAAUCGUUUUCUGAAAAAAUAAGCUAAUCUGGCGCCUCUUCAUAAAUCAUGUACUCUUAACCAAGCUGCUAGACUUCGCUUGUCUUGGCUAGACAUAAGUGACUGGUCAGCACAAAAACUGAGCAUGGGGCUGUCGACACCGCGAGUUGCGAAUGCACUUGAAGGUCCAAUUUUACCAGAGAGCUCAAGAGUGAUAGCAGAGAAGGCCUGAAGAUUUAGGCGUACCUCUACGUAGUCCUUGUGAGGCUUAUGAUGUGUUUCUAGAAUCGUCCUCCUGCAAUAAUGCAUCUGUAACAAGUAAAGCUUGUGCCGAUCAUAAUCGAACGAUCCAUAAGGUUUUACUUGCUGCGUCCAGCCUUGGGGCCAGCGUUGUAACCGAAGGGUACACGCCGGUCCGUCUCCCAGCAUAACUCCGGCCCCGCAACGAAAGCAGGUGUGUACGCCUACAAUCGACGCAAUCGAAAUGGCGUGAGCAGAUAAUCCAGAGGUCGAAUCAGUGUCGUUCCAACUGAGAGCAGGAAUGGCAUAACAUGAAUGAUGAAUCAAAAUGGCUACUACCUCCAGCUUAUCAAGUAGCUCACUCGAAGUGUUCGCGGACAUGACGAUGUUGCGUGCGGAAUUGUCGAAGAACUCCUCUUCCAGCUGUUUGUCGAAGAAUGUCAGCAACGUGUCGUAGAACCCAUCCACAUUCAGAAGCCCCACCUGCAGCAUUUGCCCAAUUCGAGUUAUAUUAAACUCACAACGUCCACGGAGGAGGAUUUAGAAAGAGGAAUGAAAUAAUGUGUUUAUGGAAAUACCGGCUUCAGAUGAAUGCCGAGCUGGUUCCAAGUGAUCACUUCCACAAGCUCUUCUAAAGUUCCAUAACCACCUGCACUAAAUCCAGAAUUCCAAAUCUGAGAAUUACUCUACUCUCUCAUACUUCUGCAAUUUGUAUGGGUUCUAGCUGGGAAGUUUGUCAUCUGAUCUUUACAGGAUAACGUUAACUUUGACCAAACUUUAGGAAAUGGUUUUGGUUCUAAAUUACAGGUUAGUUCCACGUGGUGAUCCCAGUGCAUUCAUUUUACUUGGGAACCAACCGAGAUCUCAAGACAAUUCAUGCGAAUGCUCUCCAAACUCGAUCGAAUCCGAAUUAGCAUUGCACUGUGCUUACCCGGAAGUGCGAUGAAAGCAUCUGCUUGACGCGCCAUUUCAGCUUUCCUUUGGUGCAUGUCCCCCACUACGAUCAGCUCUCCCACUGUACUGCCCGUAAUCUGCAAGUUUUUCGUGGAGCAGAAGUUUGACAUGAACUAAAAAUUUUGCGAAAAAAUAAGCAAGUUCUCAGAUAAGAUCGUUUGAACGCAGUCACAACACCACGCAACGUCACUGAAACUGUACUCACUUCGCCGCCAGGAUUCACUUCUCGAGGAAUAGUCAUGAAAUCGACGGAUAAAUCCAUCCAUUUCGUGGCAAACUGAUCAUGCACGCCUUUCUUAACCAAAUGAAACGUUCUAAGUAACAGAUUGAAAAAAAUUGCAGCACCUACAAAUGUCAAUUGACUUUGCUGCCUGUGAACAUAACCAUACCUCUUUGCCAAGGAGUGCUUUGGGAAUCACGCUGCCAAGCAAGGAUUACCCACGUCAGUCUCCGCCAAGCUUUCCAAGUGGUGCAGUGCUAUGACAGACUCUACAAUCGACAUCUAACUCAAUGCUGUAUCUUGUCAUGCGCAGGAAUUAUGAUGAACUCUUCAUCGCUGAAUCCCAGGUCAAUUCACUCAGUUGGAAGAAGAUAAAGGGGUAUAGAAUGGCCGUUAAGAUUGAGGAUUCAACGACAUACCCCACAACAUUCCCCCCACCAGAAUCGACUGUCUGCGCCACUUGGCCCAUGAGACCUAUACUUCCACCGCCGUAUACCAAGUCAAUCUCCCGCUUCACCUGCACCAGCGAACGCUCACCAAGUGAACAAGAUUCGACCCGAGUCAGAAUCCAAUAAGUCUGCGUGCGAUGAAGGAAACUGAGAGGAAGGGGGAUUUGUGAUCCUCAGGGUGCAAAUUGAUGGAGAGCAGGAGCGCUAACGGGAUUAGGUCAAAAGAGUGAAAAUUUUGUUGAAGAGUUGUAUGCAGAAGUCAUAUUCACUGACCAAUUCUCGGCCCAGACUAAGCGCUUCGUUGGUAAAGACAUCUUUUCUACCGCUGCUGCUGCCGCAGAACACGCAUAUCCUUCUGAACCGUUUCGCUGUGGAAGCAUCAUUGUCGCUGGUCCCCAGCUGAUCCUCCAUCCCUGUUUUCUGCGGCGGAGGGUUCUUCCCAAGAGCUGCUGCGCUUCAGCCGAGCUCGACACCCUACAGCAAGAUCGAAAGGAAAACACCACAAUUGUGUGCCGUGUCCACGCGGCUAGAGUUUGAUCCAGACACCAAUUCCCCCAAUGAGCGUCAAUAACGACUUCUCGCUUCUGUAGCUCUGCAAGAUCCACAUAAAUACGAAUCAGGAACAACAUUGCGACUCAUAUCAGCAGAACAGUCCAAACGGCGCAGGCGUUGUUUCAGAAAAAGACAUCAUUGGGUGAAAGCGGCAAAAGAAAAGGGUACAUUCGCAAGGGGGUUAAGCUAAAGAACACGAGCACAUCAAAAAGGUAAAGAGGAUCAACACAAGCGGAAGCGGAAGGAUUGAAACCCCCAAAGUUGUAACGGCGCCGCGACAAACCAGUGCCGCCCAACCAGAAAACCGAAGAUUCGCAACCCGCCCAACCAGAAAACCGAACAAGUGGCGCUGACGGUUGAAUGAAGCAUGAGGCUGCUGAUGAAUGCUUACAUGAAGUGUGAGAUCGGGAAGGGGAUCGAUAGGCUUUAGAUCUCGACGUGCGAGGACGACGACAAUCGCGAGAGAUCGGGUUCUGCAUGCUGGAGCUCAAGCACCGAAGGGACCCGCUUUGUCUCCCCCCGCCGCAUGCAAGCAUUUAUGCUCUCUCUCCGUCCUCUGGACGAAGUCGGCGUCCGCGAGACGGUGACCAGAGGACGACGCGCAUUGUGGUUCGUUCCUUAGCGUCCCCCCAAACAUCGAUUCUACGUAGAAUUUGAAGCAUCUGGCCCCCUUGGUCUUGGUCUAUUCCCUUAUUAGCCAUUCCCCAUGAUAAAUUUACUUUUACAAUUUUAAAAUGAAUACAAUAAAAUUGUGCAUGCGUUUCUGUUGAAAAUAGAUCAGACUGUUACAUAAUAGAUUAGCAUUUGUACUGAAAAACAAAAUAUGUUUUUUGAUGAUUUUAUUUAUUUAUUUGUUUUUAAAUAAAGAUUUCUUUUUUUCAGAAGGUGUAAAUUAAUUUUUAUUUUAUUUUAUUUUAUUUUAUUGUACUUUUUUCACAUGAAUUUACAUUGUAUUGUGAUUAUGUUGCAUUAAACAUGAAGCAUAUGAGUAUUUUUCCAAAUGUUUUCUUCUUGUUUUGAGUGUCAUUUGCAUCUUUUAGUUCUUGAAAUUUGAUGGAUAGGCUUAUUGUGCCUGAGUAUUUUUGUAUCAUUUGUAAUGUGAUUUUAUGGUGAAAAUAUAUAAUAUGGAUGCAAUGAUAUCUGAUGGAUCCGUUUAUUUUUUGUGAUUUAUGUGAGAUGUGAUUCCUAAAGGUGGGUACAUUAAAUUUUUUUGUAGAUUUUUUUUAAUUUUUUAUUUGGAAUAUUCUUAGUAUUACCUGAUAAAGUACUUCUUUAACACAAGUGUUACUUUACCAAGUUUUCCUGCAAACAAAAGCUCUUUCCAUACCAUGACCACUCAUCAAAUAUCUUCUACAUGCUUUAAAAACAAAUGCUUCCAAAGUCACAAAACUCACCAUAUCUACAGAAGCUAAUCAAUUUACAUAUCCAAUAGGGGUUUAUAUUUAUAUUGAAAUACAAAAUUUAGCAAGGAAUUCAAAAAAAAAAAAAAAAAAAAAAAAAAAAAUGGUUUUAAAAUGUAGACUUUGUAAUGAAAAGUGAAGUCUUUAAAUACUUUUGAGCACGUCGUUUAAAGAACCAUUGUAUUUUAAAGUCAAGAUAAAGAUUUGAAUUAAAAAAACACAAAUUGAAGCAUAUAUAUGUAUGUAUGUAUGUAUGUAUAUAUAUAUAUAUAUAUAUAUAUAUAUAUGUGUGUGUGUGUGUGUGUGUACACGUGUCUAUAUAUAUGUUCUUUUUCUUGGUUUUGUCUCAUGUUGUGGAGUUGCUAUGGCAUAUCCACCGCAACCACAAUUCCAUGUUUGCAAUCAUGUACUACACAUUGAACUCCACCAGUCCUUUGGAAGUCAUUGCAACGUAGAUGUGUUUUUCUUUUAAACUCUUUGUUUCUAAGAGGCAAAACUAGCUGAAUCAUGACAGCACCCACGCAUAGCCUAUUCUAAAAAUCCUAUUCUGGUUCUGCUCUACUUUAGCACUGUAACUGGCUGAUGAGCCUGGCAUCUACUGCUUCCUUUUACUCUCUGUGGAAGCUAAGAAAACGAUGCUCUGCAACAAAAUUUCGGCCGCGGAAGGAACAAUGUCCACAAGGAAAAGGGCAAAAGGAGAAAGGGAAAGAAGCUUGCUACCACAUGGGUCAUAGAGCUGCACUGGAAACAGCAGGCUCAUAUACGAGGCUUUUUGCAUCUUCCCAUCGAAGCUUGGGAGCACUCAGAUCUCGAACCAACGUGUAGGCCUGCACGUUAACGACGCAAAUUUGUUUUAAAAUAAUAAUUAAUAACAACCUAAUACACUAUCACAUGCAGUUGAUGUGGGAUUUGAGCAAUGAACAGGUGACCAGUCGCAUAAUACCUCCAGCUUGUCGAGAAGCUCACUCGGUGUUCGUGCGGACACCACUAUGCUGCGAGCUGAAAACUGGAGGAAGCCCUCCUCCAGAGCCUUGUCGAAAAGUGUUAACAGAGGGUUGUAAUACCCGUCGACGUUGAGCAGGCCGACCUGAAUGACAAGCACAGAAUCAGACACCAGAACAUGUAAGAGUAUUAAACUUGCACUACUGUCGUGUGAGAUCUGAGAUCUGAAUUUUGAGGAGACUGGGUUAUGCCUCAACCAGGUUUUGUGUUUUCAUGAGUUGGGGAGUGCAAGCGUCAAACAACUCACUGGCUUCUCGUGAAUGCCGAGCUGGGACCAGGUGAUGACCUCGAGUAACUCCUCGAGUGUGCCAUAACCGCCUGCACACGGACUUGGUUCUAUCAGUGAAUGACAUUUGACGUUCUAUGUUGAAGUGUUACACUGAAGUUCUUGAUAAGUUGAAUGCAAGAGAGGAAUAUUGGCGUGACCUGGGAGAGCUAUGAAGGCAUCCGCUUCUCGAACCAUUUCCGCUUUCCGUUGGUGCAUGUCACUCACUGCCACAAGCUUCCCCACUGUUUGCCCCGAAAUCUGCAUACGUAUGAAUCAUAAAUGAGAGUUUUCUCCCGUUAAUUGUGGUAGUUUUAAAGCUGUUCUCUACACGUGGAGUUUCUGCGAUUUCCAGGAUGUUUUUGCAGAGAUAGUCCGCGACUGAACGCUCACUUUGCAGGAAGGACGAAAUAGGGCUAAAACCCUUGUAAAAUAUGGUUAGAAAGUGCGGACCUCUUGGCCGAUCAAAGCUUUGGGUAUCACACUGCCAACCAUCCAAUUACAGCCAUACCCCAUAGCAAUGCAUUCCCGUCAAUACCUUCAAAGCAACCAUGGUGCCCAGAGAAAUCCAGAUUUAGCAAGUUCCAAUUGCGAUCAAUCAACAACUAGGUCUUCAAUUAAUCAUCAAAGCAUAAGAGAAAGCCUUUCAGUAAACCCUACCGACCUCCCUAAGCGUGAACAUUCUCCUAAUAUCGAUAAGAAAUGUGGAUUCUGCCGUGUAUCCAAUCUAGGAAAAACCUUCGCAGGUAAGCCUCGAGUGGGAAGAUGCAUGGGGAUUGAAAGCCGUGCUAUCCGACGUCGGGAGCAGACACAUGUCUUCCCAAGCUAAUCACCAUCAUAGAAAUAAGUGAGCAGAAUAGCACUGACGCCCUACUUUUCUCUAGUCAAGGCCAGCAAUCGAAUUUUGAGAUGUCGCUUGACCACUGUGUAGGGUGUAAAGUAAUGAGGUGAUUGUGUGUACCCUAUAACAUGACCACCUCCGUCGUGCACAGUUUGCGCCACUUUACCCAUUAAUCCAUUGCCACCUCCACCAUACACCAAGUCUAUUUUCCUCCUCACCUGCACAAGAUCACCGGAAAACAUUCGUGAUGAGUUGGAUUUAUGGAUGAAGGGGUGAAGCUUCGUCGCCCUAAGGUUUCCUAUAAUUGCUUUGAUGACUUUGGGAAGGUCCGUUUGUAUGAUCAUCCAAAUCCUGCAGCUUGCAAAUUACAGCUGUCUGUGCUACUGGAGUGAUUUGCCGAUACACAGCAGAGGAUUUAAUGUUCAAAAGAUGAUUGACAGCAAUGGAUGAGCUGCGCUGGUAGUGUAACGGAGAGGCUACUAUGUGAAGCAGCCCCUGCAAAAGCUUAGACCCCAGCUGCGGCACUUGAUCAUCCAUCAGUACCCCUGUCAGGCUGCACUGACCGUGUGCCCUCAGUAAUCUGAAACUCCCAUCAUUCCAAUGUGUGGAAUUCAUGCUCUUCACGGCCAGUGGCUCAUGUAUUGGAUCGUAUUUUACGUACGACUCACGGCCUCUCUCUGAAUGAGAAGCGCAGACACAUAAGAACAUACAGCCAGCGGGGAGGCCGUGUCAGUCGGUGAGAGCACGUCCUCACCUAAAUUUCGUGAAACACACAAUGGAAAGUUCAAGGUGGUAGAGGGAGAAGCUGGAGACUGAGAAGUUCUAACCGACCAAUUCUCGGCCCAGGCUAGACGCAACGUCGCUGAAGAUGUCUUUCUUGCCGCGGCUGCUCCCACAGUAGACGCAAAUCCUCUUGAAGCUUCGACGCGAGGAGAUUGCCGCUGGCAAUUCCUCGAGGCCGCCGUCGCGACGAGAGCUCACGCCCGGAAGAAUGCGAGGCUCCACCUCGGACUGCGACGACAGCUCUUGCCUCCCCAUCGAUUCUCGGCUAGGCCUCGAGCUCGACUCGCCCGUUUGCUGCUGCACCUUCAUGAGCGCACUCGACCCUCCCCGAGACGCGCUGCAGUCAACUUGCAACUCACCCAACUCCGACGUUCUGUGUGAAUUCCACCCGUCCGUGCCGGGCUGUGGGCGUGUAGUCACUGAGAGACGAUCAGCAGCGUGCGCAGCAAUACACGCCUGGGGACGAGGGGCUCAGCGACGAUGGAUGUAUCCAGGGUGGCUGAUGGACCGUGGGGGCAACGAGCAUGUGCAUGGACGAUGCCGCGCACGACAUGAGAGAGAAGAGGACGAGGCUUAGAAGGAGGAGAGUGGGAGAGAGGGAGAGAGGAGGGAAGCAGUGCACCCUGUCAAGUAAAGGAAAGGAAACAGCGCGCCUCAUCCGCAAUCUGGCAACUGAUUCGCAACUGCUGGGAGCAGCGCCUGGCGCGUCCUGGCUCGGUGGGGUGGGGUGGGAUGAUGGGGCGUAACGCGCUCCCUCGCGCCCCUCGCAGCGCCACACGCCGCGUUUGUUGCGUGUCGAGCUCGUCCCCCUGAGGCCGCUGACGCGCGCUCGCGUGACGCCACUCGCGUUCUCGAAUCUUCUUUCAGUCCGAAGAGUCCUCUUCUUAUUUGGGCUUUGAUAAUCUCAUCAAUGGGACACGUUUGUGAAUAAUUUUGGGUGUUUUGCAAGUUGGUUUUGUCAUUAGACAUUACGUCUCAAUCAUAUAACUUGAUGAGGUAAUUUUUGUAACAAAAACUUAUCAAUACUUUGUGUGUUCCUCCUUUCUUAUUUAAAAAAUAAUAUAAAAAUAAAAUAAAAUAAAUGCAAAAGUUUUGGUUUUUUAAUUAUAUUUUUUUUGUGAAGUUUAAGUUUUGAAGUGAUUUCCUUAUAGGAUAAUUAAAAUUUUGAUUGAAUAUAAUUCAGCAAGAUUAAAAGAAAUAGUAGAUUCAAUCCAUGAUCAUUGAUGCGUUUAAAUGUAAGUUCAAUGUAUAAUGCUUUUGAACAAUUAUUUUAGUGUGUUUUAUUUUUUAUUGUUUUGAUGGUCACUAUCAUGUGUAUAUAUAUAGAUUAAUUUUUUUUACAGAUUUAAUUAUAGAAAAUAUAUGUUACAAACAAAACACAAUGCAUGGUAGUUAAGGUUAAAAUUUCAACAACUACAAAGAAUUUUCAAAAACAUUUGCUUAAAAUUAUUGUAUUUACUUGAAAAAAAAAGGAAUUACAAAUAAAUAUUUGAAAAUUCUAAUUAAAUUAAUGAGAGUAGCAAAUAAAUUACCUAUUUUUUAUAUUGAAAUAUUUUUCUUUGCAUCUCCUCUACAAUUUUGCAACUAAAUAUUAUAUCUAAAUAGGAUUUUUUUUCAUAUCCAAAUAUUAAGUUUUAAAUGAAUAAUUUUACAGAAAAAUAAUUUUAAAAAUUAAAAUUUUAACUUCUUUAUGUAAAAUUAAUUAAAAUCAAAUAAAUAAAUAAAAUUUUAAUAAAUUUUAAUGUAUGUUAAGGAUUUCUCCACUUGAAAACAAUCAAAUCAUGAUUUUUGUUAUAAGAUCAACAUCAAUUAGUUUAACAUAAACAUUAUUACAACGUACCAUGAAUAUUCUAUGAUACCAUCACAUCAGAUACUUUUUAAAAAACACCUUAUUGUUAAUACUACAAUAUAUUCAUGAAUGUAUUUUUUUAAAUGUAUUAAUGUCAUGUCACAGAUAGCAUUAGAUUCUAUGGUCCAAAAAAAGAUACACAAAUAAAAAAUCUGCACACAAAUUUUGUGAUUUUAAUAUUUUCAGUAGUACAUGUGUUAGCUUUCAAAACUACAACAAUCUAAUUAUCAACUUCUACCCAAAACCGUGUACUUGUGAUUGGUUGAAUUAACAUUUUUGUUUGAAUUUACUGAAAUGGUACAUCAUGCCAUGAUGACUUUCGUGUAACGUUUUACAAGGUGCUUUUCAAACUAAUGAAAUCAGUAAAAAAAUAAAAAAACUUUUGAUGAUAAAUCAAGUGUAAGAAAAUUUAUCAAAAGGAUGAAAAAUAGCAAUAUUUUUUUGAUAUCAUAACUUUGAAGAUACAAGUUUCUUGGGCAAACGAAAAUCAAUUUUUUUAUUUUACUACUUAUAUUUUUAAUUUGGAUUUUGAAACAUAAUUUUAUAUAAAUAUUAAAAAUCAAUAUCACAAUUAAUUCUUAUUAUUUUUCUUAUUAUAUAUUUUAAAAAUUAGGAUCUAAUUAUCAUCAAAUAAAAUCAGUUAAAAUUUAACAAUAGUAUAUGUAAAUAUGCAUAUCAAUCUUAUAUAUAAAAUUAAGAAUAUAUAAAAAAUUGAUAUAUACAUUUUUUUGAAAAUCUAUACCUAUCAAAAUAACUAAAAAUUAAAACUAAUUUAAGGUUAGAUUUUAAAUUAUUUGAAUUCAUAAAAUAUGUUUAUAAAAUUUUCUAACAGAUUAAAAAAAUAUGAAAAUGAAAUUAUUUUUAUGAAAGACUUAAAAAAUAAAAAUAUUUUUAUUUAAAUAAAUUAUGUUUUUUUUAUUUUCAUUGAUUUAUUUAAGAUCUAGUAUGUACUUUUAUUUUUAUCUAAAAUUCUACAAUAUUCAUAUUAUUUCAAAAACUUACAUAUUCUUAAUAAUAUAUCUAGUUAAGAUUUAUUUAUGAUAUUAAUAUUUAAGAUAUCAAUAAUAAAUUUAAUAUAAUUUUCUAACAAACUCACAUUUUUAAAUUUUGAAUCUAUUUUAAGAUUAUUUUAAAAAUAGUACUUAAUUUACAUAGAAUUUAUUUAUAGAUAUCUUUUUAAAAUUCUAUAUUGUAUUUUAAAUUAUUUUUAAAAUAUGUAUUAUGUGUUAUUUUGAAUUUUAAUUAUUAGACCAUAGUAGCAAAGGUUUCUAUAAAAUAAUUCUCAAGCUUGACCUUUAAAUAAAAACCAUCUAAAAAAAAUUCAUUUGUAAGGAAUUAAGGUUGGGCAAAAGAUCCUUUAUCUUGUCUAUUUGUCUAUUAGUUUAGAAGAAAUUGCUAGAGUGUUGAAAAAACAAAUCUAAAAUCACAUGUAAAGAAAAACAAACAUAGACUAGAGCUAUUUUUCUAAGAUUUAGAAAAACACAUACAUGCAAUUGUGGCUCUACAAAUUCUAACAUCUAGAAUUGAUAAAAUCUUCAAAUAUUGUCUAUAAAGUAUCCUAGCUCCUACCAAAUAGGGCGUAUACCAAGCUAUGGGAGGUAUUGCCUCUUAUUCCCUCCUAUCAGAAAGGGGCUAAACAAAUAUCAUUGUAUCACUUUAGAACUUCUAAAGAAACAUAUUAAAUUGCAUGGCAAGAAAAUCUACUAUGUUACACAUUAAUUUUUAAAAAAUACAAGAUGAUUUUAUAAUAAUAUCUAUUUUGUCUAUGUAAAAUAUAAUUUAAUAUUAAUAUGAUAUAUCACACUUUGAUAUGUUUUCUUCUAUUUAGAUUAUUUUACGUUUAAUAAGUUUAAUCUAAGAUUUUUUAAUAUUUUAUAUUAAGGUUUAUGAACACCAACCUCUAUUCUACAAAUAUUAGAUGUAAUUUGAUUAUAUUUUUCUUUGUAUACCUUCUACAAGUUAAGCAUGAUUAUUUAAUAAACUCUUGUAGUUUAAAAUUUUUUGGGCUUACAAUGGCAUAUUAUAAGAAGGCUAAAAUUUAAUAGUGCUUUAGGAAAUUUGACUUAGAAUAAAAAUUUAAAAUAUUUGAAGAAAUAUCAUUUCUUUUAGUAUUUAUUUUAGUAAAAUGUAAGAUAUUUUUGAAUACUAUAGUACUAAAAAAAUUUAACACUAGAUUUUUAAUUCUUUUUUAAACCAUUCUACCUAAUAUAAAUAAUUAUCUUUAGUAUACUUGAAUCAAAUUUUCUUUGAUAUAAUUCUUUUAAAAUAAUAACUUAUUUUUAAUUAUAAAUUUAUUUUUUAUAAUAUAAGAAUUUUAAAUUCUUUUACUUUGAAUUGUUUUAAGAAAAACUAUGUUAUCUCAAAAACAAUUCAUUUUCAAAGAUUUUUCUAUUUUAUUAUUAUUUAUUAAUUUAUACUUAAUUCUUAUUUGAAAUGUAAGAAUGUCUUUAACUUCAUUGUCCAACUAUUAAUAAUUUUGUAAUAUUUACCACUGGAAAUCAGUCUUGAAUUUAAAUUCUUAUUAAGCAAUUUCAUGCUUGCAUGUUGGAAGAAUUAAUAUUGGAAGCAUGAAAUUGUAUGCAAAUUUAUAUAUAUAUAUAUAUAUAUAUAUACAUAUACAUACAUACUUACAUAUAUAUACAUAUACAUACAUAUGUAUGUAUGUACAUAUAUAUAUAUGUAUGUAUGUAUAUGUAUAUAUAUGUAUGUAUGUAUGUAUAUGUAUAUAUAUAUACAUAUAUACAUACAUACAUAUAUACAUACUGGUGGAAACCCAUGUUGUAUGAAAUUUUUUGUGUGUGUAUAUAUAUAUAUAUAAAUAUACAUGUGUAUAUAAAGACAGGAUUACACAUUGUUGAAUAGAAAAAUUUUUAUUGUAAAUUAACUAAUUUAGUCUUAAAAUUAAUUUGUGAUUAGUUAAUUUGUAAAUAGAACAAAUUUAGUCUUAAAAUUAACUUCAUUAUUUAUUUACAAUGAGAGCGAUGGCCCACAAAUGAUAAGAAUUCAUCCAUACAUGGAUGAAAAAGCCGCAUUCGUUGUUCCCUCUCCAUAUAAACACAAACAGAAUGGGGAACGCGUGUUCCCGUCGCUUCCUUCCGCCUGGGGGGCCCCCACUCGACCACACCCGAGCUCGGGAGCACAUUGCCACACGCCCCCCGAGCUCGGGUGGAGGCUACCUACCUACCUACCGCGUAGGGCGGCAGUUCAGACGCUGAGCUCGGGUUGAGAGAGGCCUGCAGGCCUGUCCCCACUCGGGGACUCGGUGAAUACGGUUAGUUGGAAACCGCCAAGUCCAGGCGGCGGUGACAACACACAACGCCAGUGCAUCUUCUUAAGUGAUCGAACAACGCUGCGGUUCUUGCAGCGAUCCCCGUAACCACUUACUUACCGUCAUCUCCCCAUUUUCUUCCGUCACUAGAUAGUCUAGUAAGUAAGUAGUCCUGCUUCUGUUCGGUUCUGCUUAUAUCCUUCCCCCCAGGGGACCUUACAUUUGUUGAGGUGCAGGCGGCAUUGGAUCAUUCAUUGUGCGAGGUGAUGCUACACAAGCUGAUGAUGAUGAUGAUGCGACGCUGGUUUGGGCACUAUGGGUAGACUGCAGUGUUGGAGGUGCUUCUUUGUCUUUGGCUGAGAAUGGGCUUUGGUUUUUGAUGCGCAGCCGUGAGUGAGUGAGCCCGGGACUCGUUGAAAACGAAAGGUAGGGUGGGCUUUUCUCAGAUCCGUCACCUCGACAUUCUACUUCGUUGUAGACUACGAUGCGAGGGGUUGCGAGUUUAUGAACACCUUUUCUGUGUGUAUGGUUUGUGCGUAGAGAAACUGUCAUGGAUGCAGUCAGUAUGACGAGGGUGCGUGUGUUGUUUGUGCUCUCUCUCCUUGGCGGAGCUUUCGCCGAUCUCGCCUCGCAAGGUAUGUGAAAUUCGUUUUCCUCUGUCUAAUUCGUUAACUUCCUGCAACGUUUUCGAAGAGUGCAGUUGUGGGAACUAGAUGGCUCUUGUGUAAGGUUUGUUGUGGGUUGGGGGCGUGCAGAGGGUGCGCUUUUGUCUUUCAAGAAUGCUUUAGAGAAUCCAACGGCGUUGAGCUCGUGGAACCAGCAGCUGACCGACGCUUGCUCUGGCAUAUGGCGAGGGGUGGAGUGCGACGACGCGAAAGCUUCCAUCACCAACUUGUAAGCUAAUUUCAACUGUAUAUGAGUCCCGGAUCACGCAGAUUAUCGGUCAUGUAUGUGAUAACUGUCUGACAUUCAAAGGACUUACAUCGGAGGUCGACUUUGUUUUGGUUACCAAUACAGGACGCUGGAAGGUGGCGAUUUCACUGGAGAAAUUCCUGUAAGCAUUCUGCUAUCGAAAAGUUUUAAGAUUUGAUGAUGUUAAUGAAUUACUGAGGUCUACGUUGUGGAGACUGAUGAACUUCGGUGAAAUAUGAGCAGAAUGAUAUCAAUCGAAUGAAGUUCUUGAGUUCAUUGACCAUCCGGAAUACUGCUUUCCUGGGUGCCAUUCCCCAAGCAAUAGCCGACCUUCGCAACCUGAAAACCCUGUGAGCUCAUUCAGAACAUUGAAGACGUCUCAUCAUUCUCAUAUCUGAAAACUUUGAUUCGUAGCAUCUGGUUACGAUUGUCAGGGGAACUGAUUGAGGUGUGCAUCUCCUUUCAGAAUCGUUGCAAACAACCCGCAGCUGAACGGUACUUUUCCGACGUGGGUGAUGAGCCUCAAGAACCUUGAGCAGCUGUGAGUUUCUCCGCACUUUCAUCCGCACUGUCGAUAGUUCGGCGAUUCAUCAACUGCUUGAUUUGUGAUCUAAAAGAUGAAUGCUGUGGUAAUUCUGUAGGAGCUUGGCGGGGAACAAUUUAACGGGCUCUAUAAUCGGUUGUAACAACACAACACAGGCCAAGUACGCGUUCUGAACACCCCACCAAUUAAUUUUAGACUCCACUUUCGCCAAUUGAAGAAAAUGCUCCAUAUGCUUUAAAUGUUUGAUGUGAACUUGCUGGCAUGCGAUUGAUUGCGGUGCUCGGUUGGUGUGUGGGUAGAAACUUCUCGGUACCGGUUGCAGGUGGAGUCACGGUCGAAGUACCGUCGCCUUACACCGAUCUAGUGAAUGUAACGCUUCCGAAUGUGCCGGUGCUGAUGUUCAGGCCGCAGAAUGUCACUUUGCCCACUGUGGCCAUCCCCAUUCUGAUGUUCAACACACUUCCGAAUGUUUCUGCACCGUAAGAGUUUUCCAUCUUAUCUCCCUCGAUUUCACAAGUCGUCUCAAGCACUGAAUUGAAGUUCGGUUUCACCAUUUUUCGUCUAGCAAUGUGGAUUUAAACAUAGUGUGAAAUGGUUGUGGCAUGAUGAUGCAUCGGGAGCAGAAACCUGACGGAUGUCACGAUCACGAGUCCUCUGUAAGAUGUCGACGACUCUUACCCCACGAUUCUGUCGGUCUGCUCAUGGAGCUCUAAUACCGAGCCUUCCUGAUUCAAUUGUUGCGAUUGAUGUCGUGAUUGAACACAUAGUUUUAUUUUGUUUUGUGGAAAAGACAUCACAUCAGCUCUUCGAAGUGAAGGAGAGUGGUUCCUAAGUUCCUCUUGUUAAUGCAAUUGGUGGAUUUCUGUUAAGCAGGGUAUUCAUGUGUCCUAACGUCUCCAUCCCAUCUCCUUCAAACAUGUACGGUAUUCUUCCACUGUGUUCUUUCAGCUUGGCCGCAUGCUCAUCUAUCCUGUACCCAUGCAUCGUGAGAAUACUGCAUUACUGAAAAUCCUUAUGUGGCACUUCGUACUGCAGAACCUUGCAUACUUCAAACUGGACUAUUCAACCCACGUUGCAGCCGCUGUAAGCGUCAUCUCUAUCCUUCGCGAUUAUUGCUAUUACAUGCUGAAAGAUAUGCUUGUAAUUGACAAUGUCACUCAAAUUUUGGGUUGUGAACUGCUUGCAGCAACUGGACGCUAGAUUUCCCGAACCUUUCGCCCCCGUAAGUUACAUGCACAUUUUUAAAGUUUCAAGCCGCAUCUUUAAAGUUUGCACAAACUGAAUUUCGAUCACUACCGGCAGAACUUUGCUGAUUUUAUCAAUUGGUUGCACUUAUGAGGAACUGGACAUACAUGAGUUGGUGUCGCAGGAUAGCCCGUGUGAGGAAUUUUACGUGGCCAACUCUGCCCGCGUCGUAAGCCCUCGGAUUACUACAUCCCUCUUCUUAUAGAGCAAUUUUCCGUUUUAAUAAUUUCCCACACAACAGAAAAAUGUCAUGGAGACAGAGUUCGCACAGAUCUUGGUGGUGCAACUCGAAUAGCUUAAAUCGACGCUUGUCUUCGAGGCAGCCUAUUUCUCUGCAUUAAACAUGUUCAUUAUUCCUCAAAGGCAUGUAAUUGUUAAUUGAUCCAACGUUAUUAUGCUCCUUGGCGCAGGAACAAGUCAAACUUCACACAGCCAUGGUAAUUAGCCUCUGACUUGACACAUCUAUUCUCUAAACUGCAAAUACGUCGAAGAGUUGAAACUUGCCCAUCGAGGCAUAAUCUCUACUCCUGUUAUCACGAGAUCAGUAAAAAAACAGCAUUCUAAACCCACAUCGCAUGAGUUUGCAACCGAAUAACGUUACCUAAUGUUUAGAGUUAUGGUUUGAGGGCCGCAGGAUUGUUGUGACUGCCACCAUGUUCAACUGGUCGACGUUUGCCUGGUAAUUAGCUAUUCUUCGGUAAACCUCGUUUGUGAGCUUAGCUUCGCCCUGUUCGAAAUUUUGCAAUGGGGUUAUUGGAGAAACUAGAAUUAUCCUGUCUCUACGUAGGUGUUGUGUAUGGUGAGAAAUCUUUUCCACUGAUUUGUGGGUUGAGCGUCGAAUUUCGCUUUGAUCAGGAACAUCUCUGAAGGGCCUUCAAUCGAUGUGCCUGGCGUUGAGAAACCAGUGCGCUGUGUGUAAGUUUCACUGCUUUGAGUUUGUGCAUAUAUAUAUAGUUCUUGAUAAUUUUAUCAUUUGCAGCAGUGUCAGUAAGUACGUACGUAUGUGUGUGUACAUAUAAAUGUACUCAAUAUAAUUUACCAAUGUUAAUCAUAGUGUAAGCGGAUAUGCAGAAACGUUUCAGUUCCAAAUCCUUUCCCCUGGACUUCUCCAGAUAUUUCUAAAUUGUGAGAUACAAUUCUCACCACAUUGUAUUUACUAGAGAGGUUCAUUGAGAUAGAGUUCAUUUUGAUUUGUAUGUUUUAUUGUAUCUGUUGAAAUUUGCCAUGUUUAGGAGCUGGCAUUUGGUGUUUGUAUAAUGGAGUUUAUUUAAACUAUUUUUAAGAUGUCGUUCAUGAUUUGUGUCAAAAUUACCCUUUAGACAUGGAUGAACAUAUAAAUUAAUAAAUAAAUAAAAAUUGCAUUUUAAUAUGUGAAUGUUGAUGAUGUAGGAACUUCACAUUUCCAGUGUUUCCGCCUUCACAGAGGAGUCCAUGGUUCAGUGUUAUAAACAGAACCACCUUCCCACCUCUUCCUUCUAUUCCUUGGAAUCCUUUUAAAUUUGGUCUAUCUCCUCUACCUCAAUUCCAACCACCUAAUUUUACAUUUCCUGAUCUUCCUCCCUUGCCCCAACUUCCUCCUUUAAAUUUCACAUUACCUCCUUUACCCCAACUCCAUCCUCUUAAUUACACAUUUCCACCUUUGCCCGAAGUGGUCCCUCCUAAUAUCACAGUACCACCUUUAUCUCCUCUUCCUUCCAUUCCACCUCUCAUAAAUGACCCCGUUUUUAACAUCUCAAAUAUUACUUCAUUCCCACCGUUACCAAGUGUUCCACAAUCUCCGCCACUUCCCCUACCAAAUAUCACCUUACCAACAUUUCCACCCCUUCCACCCCUCAAUUUCCCCUCUUCCAAUGUGUCUAGAUUUCCUCCCAUUUUUAACACUACUUUUCCAAAGUUUCCACCCUUGUCUCCAAUUCCAGGACUCCCAAGUGUGGGUGUUGGAGUGAAUGGUAGUGUGGGUGUUAACACCACCAUUCCAAGUGUUGGAAUUAAUGGAACUGUUUGUGCAAACGCAACCACUCCGCCAAUUGGGUCACCUCUUUCGGGUACCAUUAUCAAUUCUACAAUCCCUUCACUACCACCUAAUUUUACAUUUAGUAAUCCACCACUCCCUCACCUUAUGGCUCCUAAUUUCACCUUUGUGUUUCCACCUUUGCCUCACUUCACACCACCCAACUUUACUUUCCCACCUCUAAAUCCUAAUUUUACACAUUCCAACUUUACUCUUCCACCACUUCCCGAGUAUACUCCACCUAAUAUAACAUUGCCAUCAAUCCCACCUUUGCCUCAAUACACACAUCCUAAUUACACCUUGCCCACCGUGCCACCAAGUUAUGAGAUUUUGCCCCCAAAUUUCACAUUUCCUCCCUUGCCUCAAAUUGUUCUACCAAUUAAUCUCACUCUUCCUCCAAUUCCUCCCUUCAUACCACCAAAUGUGACUCUCCCACCUCUUCCUACUAUUACUAAACCUAAUUUCACCUUUUAUGAUAUUCCACCUUUGCCACAAUAUGAGCCUUCUAAUUUAACUUCACCUCCUCUUCCAGAACUCACACCUCCAAAUUUAACGUGGCCAUGGCCAUGGUCCAUUGGAAUUAAUCUCACAAAUAUUACUAUUGGGGCC